Molecule: long non-coding RNA, 45087 nt
Filed under: Dunaliella salina
Lineage: Eukaryota; Viridiplantae; Chlorophyta; Chlorophyceae; Chlamydomonadales; Dunaliellaceae
Description: long non-coding RNA (DSAL_LNC000165)
Source: RNAcentral
CUAAGGCGCUGGCAGGAUUAGUGUCGGAGCAGAAUUUAAGUUCAACAAGGUGGGCUUGUCUGCCUGGGAUGUGACGCACAAAUAGAGCAUCAGGGCGGCUUGUAUGCUGAACAGGUGAGGCAGCUCCAUUUGGGAAAACCCAGUCUGGAAUAGCGCGAGAGGUAUUUUCAGGGACUUGUAUGCCUUGAUCCAGAAGUCUGUCAUGGCUGCACCCAUCCAUGCUAAUGAAGGAUGAGGCGCUAAAUGCCAAAGGUCAAAGUCACCCAACACAAAACCUUAUGGCAAUUUGUAUCCCCCCCACCCCAACACUGUUGGGAGGAAGUCAGGCAUGACUUACUAACAGGUUUGCCUCGCACACCACAUGGUCAUGAUGCAAUCAUUACUUAUGUUGAUAGGCUGUCUAAGCGAUUUGUCCUUGUUCCUUGCAAAAGUACAGUGACAGCAGAGCAGUAUGCAGAUCUUUUCUUUUCCAAUGUAUUUAGGCAUUUUGGCUUGCCGAAGCGUUUCAUUUAAGACAGAGAUCCCAGAUUCAUCUCACACUUUUGGAUAGAGCUGUUUAAACGCCUCGGGACCUCCCUCAACAUGUCCACCGCACACCAUCCUCAAACAGAUGGGCAGACAGAGCGUGCAUACCGCACAAUUGAAGACAUGCUGCGUGCUUAUGUGUCCCCAUUCCAUAAUAGAUGGGAUGAACUCCUCAUUCCUGCAGAAUUUGCAUAUAACAACAGCAUUCAAGCAAGCACAGGAUUCACCCCAUUCUAUCUCACCAACGGCCAGCAUCCACACACACCAUUAUCCUUGGCGUUGGAGCAAUCAUCCCCUCAGCCAACACCAACCCCUGCUUAUGAUUUCUUGAACAGGUUUCAGAGACACCUCUCACAUGCCAAACAUUCUCUGGAUCUGGCUCAACAGCGCCAACAACGCUAUGCAAACCGAAGGCGCACAGAUGCAGAAUUCCAACCUGGAGGCUUUGUGCUCCUGUCUACCAGACACCUCAACAUGCACAUCCCUGAAAAUUCUACACCAAAACUGUUUCUUAAAUACGUUGGUCCAUUCCAAGUUCUUGAAGCUCUCUCUCCAGUCACAUAUCGCCUCCAACUCUCACCCACCAUGAAGUGCCAUAAUGUCUUACAUAUCAGCCUCCUGGAACCCGCCAACUUUCACUCUGAGGAAUUCCCUCACCGCGCCCAACCCAAUCCACCCCCCGUCUUUAUUGAGAAUGAUCAAGCCUACUAGCAGGUGGAGAAAAUCCUCAGGCAUUACCCAGCUACCACAUCCUCCCACGACCAAACAUCCAACUACCGCAUUAAGUGGGCAGGAUACCCUACUCAUGAGUCCACAGGCAAACCAGCCGAGAACGUGUUCAAUGAUAUACCUCAAGAGGUCCACAGAUAUUGGAAUGAACAUUCCAAGCAACACACCUCACGCCAGCCCGCCAACCGCCGCCAGCCAGCUGCCCGCGCCCCCCUUGUCCGAGUUCCGCCAGCCUUGACUACCCGCCAGCCAUGACAUCCUGCCCAAGUCUGCUGUCCGUGCAAUGCCUCUUGGAGUUUGGCUCGGUUCCUGUGCGACUUAGAUUAGUUUGUCUGCCCCUCUGUCUGAUCUGGACGCUGACUACUUUCUGACGCCAACUUGUGCAUCUUGUAUGUAUUUAUUAAAUUAAUAAAAAAAUCCAUGUUUUUAUGACUUCUCAAAGAGCAAAGCAACCUGUGGGCCUCGGCCAMCUAUUCCGUGGUAUUAGUCCACGUAUAAAACCACGCAAGCCAAUUGCUUUCCGAUCUCACACAGGGUCUUCCACCAUGAAUGAGCCUUCAAACGCUCAAAUGAUAGAGUUUCUCUGUCGUCGAAUGGAUGCAUCUGAUAAUGAGCGUCGCCAUGCAGAGCGCGCUGUUGCCAACCAAUUAAACAACAUUUCCGACAAGCAGGAACGCUUAUCGACGCGACAAGACAUUCUGAGCUUUGAGCUGCAACGUGCACAUGAGCGCAUUGAUGUUAUUGAGCAGCGCCCUCGACCAACAACUAUGUCAUCCAGCUCGGACAAGGCUUCCAAAUGGAAAGAUGACACAAGGCGGGACACUUACAACUAUGAUGAAAUAGCAGGUCGCGCAUUUGUCAAAUACCCAAACAAUGUGCUGGUCGACAUUUCUUCUACUUCGCGUACCCUCGCCACAGACAAGCCAAUCAAACCCUUAGAGUCAGACCGGGCUGUAAAUUGCUUCCUGAUUGACGUGGGACCCAAGGGCAGUGCAGGCACGCGUGCUGUUACCACUUUCAUCAACCAGACAAAAGACAAGAAACCACCAGGGGUAAAGCUCCAGCGACAGAAAACCCCCCAAACAAUCAAACGCAAGAAGACCGUGAACAAGAUUGAUUCUGCUGUACGCAGCGUCAUCGCGUCCACACCACGGUUGGCAGGAUUGAAAUUGCAUGUAGGAGCCAGUGGAAGCAAUCUUUUUCUCUCCUACUUCGACCGCUCAGAUGCGCUGAACUACAAGAAGCGAGACGCACCCGCCUACCAAUUUCCUGCAUGGGAACACGUUGCGUAUGAGGAGACAAUGGGUACAGGCAGGGAGGGUUUUGACUUUACCUCACCUACGCAUCUAGAUCCAACCUCCAUCUUGGCAUCCAUCAAAGCCACUGUUGGACAACCAUCUGAUGAAGGUGUACCCGAUACCAUCAUGACUGAGCCUAACAAUGCCCGUCCUGCACGUGUCCGAGAGGGCCAAGAAAACUCUAAAGCCAAGCAAGCUCGCACUGGAUCCAAGAACAAUUGAUGGGCAGGCCUUCAGUCAGAACUGAGAUUGCUGGCCAUUAAUUGCGAUGGACUUCCAGAGGAUGAAGAAUCUCUGAAACUGGAAGAGCUCGCUUUGCACAUACAAAAACAUCAUGUUAUCACGUUGUCAGAGACAAGGACAAAUGACAUUAACCGAAUUUUUCGUUUUUUGCCACAACAUGUUCUUGUAGGCAACACACCCAUUCCUAUGACCAAUAAUGGACGCAAGGGACAAGGAGUAGCUCUUUUGGUUUCUAAAGCUCUUGCAGAACGCUUCACUCUCUUGCAUGUAUCACAAACAACACAAACUGUGUUCGCUCGUUGUGAUUCAUGCGUUUUUGGGAAGGAACAUCCUGUCCUUUUUGUGGCAACGUACAUUGCUCCUGAGCAGAACGAGGACAAACAUGAUAUUACAUCUCAAUAUCAACACCUUGGGCAAGAGUUGCAACAGUAUUUAAUGUCUUUUUCGCCAAACCUUAUUCUUUGUGGGGAUUUAAACGCGCAUAUCGGUGACCUUGAUGAAAUAGCAAACACUCACUUUGAUAUGUUACAUACGUGCCCUUCUCUUCUUUCUAAGCGUAAGAUUCAAAAUUUCCAUGUGAACAAAGCGGGACAACUUUUGAUACGUCUAGCUUCCUCGCUAGGCCUCAUGUUAAGCACGGGCAGAGUACCAGGAGAUAAAGGGCAAGCAACAUUUGUUGGGUACAACAAGACAUGUGAGACUAGGCCCGAUCACAUGCUGACAUCUAAGCCAAUGUUUCUUCACGUGAAAAAGACCAAGAUCACUGUACCCAAAUUCUUUUAUCAUUGUUUUCAUUCUGUGUCCUUAUCUAUGACCUCUACUAUUCCAGGUGUUGAUAUAUGUUUACGACAGUGCCCUCUUUAUGGUCCAACUACCAACUUCUUGAGAUGGAAGCCAGAAAGGAGUAGUGACUUUGUUAAGUUUCUGGAGCAGGACACCCUUGCAAGACUGAGGUUUUACCAUGCAAUUGAGUCUCAAAAUGUGGAACAUGCCUGGUCUGAGCUAAAAAAUUGGAUCCUAAAUGCAGCCGUCAAUUCUGGGAUGACCACGGCAGGGAUUCACUCUCGCUCUCCUCCCAACAAUGUAUUCAAAAAAGCAGAGUGGUUCGACAGUACAUGUUUUCACAAAAAGCAAGCAUAUCUAAAUGCUGCUUUACACGGAGAUACUCAAAAUAAAGCCCACUUGUGUCAUGAGUAUAGGUCUUACAACCAGAUGUGUAAGAGGCGUUUUUUCAAUUCAAAACGACGAAUCUUUCUACAAAAGCUUUUUGAUAACGAUCCCACAAUCCACAGCAUGCUCAAAAAGCCUGCUGAAAAACAUGUGACUCCUGUGUCUGAAGAUGCUUGGCAUUCUCACCUUCAUGCUGUGUUCCGACGUACUCCGUUUUGUCAUAAUGAGAAUGAACUUGACAGAGAAGAAGCAGCACCACAGUACAUUGCAGCCACAGCUUACCAGCUCAACGAGCCCUCUCAUAAUUUUGGUGCCAAUCAACAAAGAUAUGAUGACCUGCAACAAGAGCCACCCUCACUCUUCUGUUUUCCUACGGAAACUGAACUUUUCAAUUUGGUCUCCCAACAUAUUUCUGCCAUGAAGACCAAUUCCUCACCAGGCUUCGACGCUGUUUCUCCUGCCUUCAUUAAGAAUGCUUACAAGCGUGUUCCCAGACAGCAGGGUAGAGGGACAGAAAAUGUUCAUGUAUUGGCACCUCAUGUCACUUCCUUCUUCCAACUGCUUUUGCAAAAAGCACGCGUACCCAAUGCCUGGAAGGAAGCCAAACUUACCCCUAUUCAUAAAAAGGGCCCUGUUAUCUCUCCCAAGAAUUACAGGAUGAUUGCUGUGAGCGCUCCCAUCUAUCGGCUGUACACAAAUGUCCUGAGGAGUAUCAUUCAAGAUUGGUGUUUUCACCACAGACAGAUUCCUGAUACUCAAUUUGGGUUCUACCCAGGACGAAGCACACUUCAACCAUUUUUCAUUCUCCGCCAAAAAAAAAAACGAUGAGAUGAUUACAAAGUAUCGUACAAGGACACAUCCUGAACGAAGCACCAAGUCCAUGGUUAUAUGGAGACUACCUACACGAAUAGAGCUCGCCAACCACUUUGACACUAAACUUCGGCAGAAAGAGGCCCGUACGUGUGAGCAAGCUACGGCAUUAACGAGACAAUUGCACGAAACAACAUCACAAAACCAGUUACUCCAACGACGCAUAUCCAACUUUGAGCAACAAUUCGCAAGCAUGAUUAUGAUGCAGCUUCCAAAUGGGAGAAAGAUACUGAAAUGGAUUGCCACAAAUAUGAUGACAUAUCUGGACAUGUGUUCGUGGUGACGAAAGACAGCGUUUCUGCCAACACCAUAUCGCAUGUCCUUGGUACAGACAAGACAAUCCUCCCAUGCAGCAAGUACAACACAACAUUUCGUAUUCUUGUCGGAAACGGGCGACGUGCGGGCUCUCUAGCUGUGUAAUCGUUCCUCAACACUGUCAAGGACAAAAUAACAAAUGAUUGGAAAGUGCAAAGGGAACGCACAAAGAUGACUAUGCAACGCGAGAGAAGUUUGAAUGACUUGAAUACUGUUCAGCGUGUCAUUUCCGCUCAACCGAAAUUUGUUGGCCUCAAUUCAUAUGUUGGAGUGAACGGUUCAAACAUUUUCCUUUCAUACGGAGAUAAAAGGGAUGCCUUAAACCUCAAGAAACAAGAUACACCGGCAUUCAAGUAUCCCGUCUGGGAACACUUCAUCUUCGAUCCGCUGUUGAACAUGGGCAAAGGCGGCAUGAACUACAAGAACAAAAUUAACCUACCAACUGCAUCUAUUGAGGCUAACAUCACACAAUCUCUCUCUACCUCUCCUUCCAUCCGUGAGAAAGAAAACCAUAUGCAGAAUGAUACAUGCGGUGCAGGCCUUCGUCACUCUGAUGGUGGAACUGAACGACUUCAAAGAUUACAACUGAGCCUCGCUGAAUUUCUUUUCCACUCAUUCAACAUCUUUGCAAGACGGCAUGGAAAUAUGGCAGAAGUCUCAAGGGUCUUGAUGCGCUAAUGUAUUCAACCUGCCUUGUAAGCAUGUUAUCCAGUACCUUCACAAACUGCCAUGUAGGGUUCAGCAAUUUGCGUUCCUUUCACGCUUGAAUGAGGUGUGUCUCCUUCAUCGGUACUUACUAUUAUACUUUAUAGGAGUUCAGGAUGAGUCCUUAACCCAAACUGUCCAGACCCAUCUCAACCAGUCCUUUAUUACCUUUUCCUUCUUGAAAAUGUUACUUUUAUUUGCAGGCCUAGCAGUCGCGAGUGUUGACUGAUGGCCUUUAUUUCCUGUAAACCCUGUAAACCCUGUAAACCCAUUCUCCGCCUUUUGAAACACGCAGCUCAGAAGACUCAGCAUGACACUUCCAGGCUUUUCUCGGCUUUCAUUGAUAUUCAGCAGGCUUAUGACUCUGUCCCACGAGAUAAACUGUGGAAACAUCUUUAUCGUUGUCGAAUGCCUCAACAACUUAUUUUCAUUCUUCAAGACAUAUACCAUAUGGAUGAAUACACUCUGCUAGAUGGAGACAAAAUGGCAAGUGUACAACCAUUAUUUGGUGUGAAACAAGGGUGUCCGCUCUCCCCGCUUCUUUUCGCGAUCUAUCUUAAUGAUAUUGAUAGUAUAGCUGAGGGCGUCCAAGGUGCUCUAACUGCCAUCCCCAAUGUAACGGUGACCCAUUUACUCUUUGCAGAUGAUCUGGCUUUGGUAGCAAACAGACAACCAAGUCUACAAGCACUUCUUAACAAUUUAAAAGAAUAUACCAUGAAAAAAUCUUUGGUUGUCAAUACCCAGAAAUCACAAAUUAUUUGCUUCAAUUCCAGACCCAUCAAUCUUCCCUUCUUUUUCUAUGAUGGAUCACCAUUACCGUAUACAGAACAUUUCAAAUAUCUGGGGAUGAUAUUUGACAAGAACCUCAAUUUUUCUGUAGCAGCAGAUGCAGCCUUACAGCCUCUCAUGAACGGGACCUUCAAGAUUCAACGUUUUGCUCAGGAACAUGGUCUAACCAAUCGACUUCAUGCCCUCAUCUGGUUAUUGAAAACUUACUCUAUUCCCGCGGGUAUGUAUGCGAGCCAGGUUUGGGCAAUCCCCUAUCUCAAGCAAGGUAAGGAGAUGGACAGUUCCUUACAAAAAUGGCUUCUUGCUACUCUCAAAAGGUGGUUGGGUGUGCGAGAUACAACCCCCUCUUGGUCUACAUUACGAGAAUGCGGGCUGGAGCCUCUACAGUUCAAUUGGUUCCGUGCAGCUAUUCGCCUGUAUAACUCUUUCACCCAAUGCAAUAGCAUUACUGUCAGRAAAGUGCUACAGGCGGACAUUCAUCUAUCUUCUUCCUCUUGUGAUUGCUGGUCUUCCCACAUUUUCUCUGCUAUGAAUGGUUUAGCAAAUUCUGGUCAAUUCCAACACAACAUGAUGAAUUGCGAACCAAUUAACUUMCGCCAGUUUGUGGUAGACCUCAGAUCCCGGCAGGUUAACUAUUGGACUCAAUUCUCCGACUCCAGUCCCAGAGAACGGAAUAGUAAACACCGUACUUUUCAUCAAUGGUGUGCGCUACCUCUUCGCAGUAUUGCAGCUGCCCAUGCCCCUUAUCAGGUUCCCAAGUAUUUCUAUCUUUCCCUUCCCAAAGAUGUCCUCCGCAGUGUUGCACGCUUUAGGCUCCGCGUCCAUACACUCCGGCAGGAAACUUCUACUUGGAUGCAGGGCUCUUCCUCUCAUUGUGAUUUAUGUCAAGACGUAGAUAGUAUCCAGGAUGAAAAACAUGCCAUUUUUCAUUGUACACAUCCACAUGUUGUGGCUUUGCGUGGAAAAUAUGCCUCUUUAUUUAUUAAUCAAGAAGCCCAAAACGUUCGUGAAUUUCUAAUGCAAGAUAACAAUAAACUUUUUUUCUUUCUGCAUGAAAUUGUCACUUUCUAUGAGCAGGCUAGCAGUCGCACGUUUUGACUGAAGGCCUUUUCUUUCCUGUAAUCCUGUAAUCCUGUAUGUAUUUAUUUUCUUUUCCCUGCCUUCAAACUCUCCUAGCUGUUGCUUGAGGGGGGGAGAAUGCAGAGUUCUGCAAGCUGUCAGUUACGUCUUUUGGAACUUUUUAUCUCUGAACUGCUCUCCAAGUCCUCUUUUUUUUAUAUGCACUGGAAAUUGUGUAAAUAAGGGCCAUUAGUUAGUCCUCUAUAGCGUGGAGAAGAAACUGCACAGAAAUAAUGGAGAAGCAAGUAAGUGCCCACUGUCCUACUCUACGCUACACUAAUGCAGGUGCUUGCAAAUCCAGUGUCUGUGCAGCAACAACAGUGCCCUUUCAAGCAGAAGUGCCUGGCCACGCCGCUGUCCCAGGGGCAUCACCGACGCCUGCACCCAGACCUGCACCUCCGCCUUCAGACACGGUGUGUGUGGCGGGAUCUGAGCUGUCACAGCAUGACAUGGCUGGCGUGCAAAAGCAGCCUGGAUUUGAGGUUUCGUUCAAGGUGCUCACACCCACACUGUUUGGAGCAUUACAGCGCACUGACCUCUUGCCUCCCUUGCCUGAGGGGCACACGCAUGUAGCUGCUGCAACAGUGCCAAAUCAUCAGCUGCCCCUGUGCAUGAAUCAGGGAAACUAAUCCAGAGCGUGAUAACCAAUGAGCACAAGCAACCUGCAUCAAAGAACCCAUUGCUAACCCAGAGCAUGAUGGCCAGUGAGCAUAAACGACCUGCAUCUGACAACUCAGUGCUGCAGGAGCCCUCUCGUUUCAGAUAUGAGGACUUUUCUUCAUUUGCAUCCAAGUGCGUGCCAGAACCUGAUCCACCUGCAUUUGAUGUGUCUAAGUAUUUGGAAGCACUAGCGGGCUUUACAUGCUGCCACACGGUGUCUCACUUGUGCGCAGGAAGAAGACGAUCAACCCAGCCCGGGUGUUGUAUGAUACAUGCUCGAAUGCCAAUCUAUUGUCAAAGGAAUUUGCAGAUUGCCAUGGCAUCCUGUAUGGACCUUCCCCACACAAGAUACGCACAUCAAUGGGCAGCUCCAUGGGCGUUGUCGGGCAAGUGGUAGGCCCGAUACGCACCAUUUUGAACAAAUGUUCUGAUGUAGAGUGCUCCACUAUGUCCCUUGCUGCAGUCACCUUCCUAGUGGCAACAGGUUGUCGUGCGAGAUCAGCGCCAUAUACACAUCACCAAGCUGGGAGCACAGAACACUUUUUUACCCUUUCAGCUUAUUAUCAUUAAUAAUAGCAUAUAUAUGCUGUCAUUACUAAUAGAUUGUAAUUAAGGGAAUAAAGGGUAACAGAAUAACUAACUGACUGUCAACCAUGAUUCAGCAAUAGCAACGAUUCAGCGUGACAAGGUGUGGAUGAGCUCUACGACAGUGUAUUGCUGAAACCCAUGUUGGACGCAACUGGAGAUCCUUUCUUGAUCCUGUCUUGGAUGUACUGCAAUACAGGCCCUUUCUGCUUACCAAAGCGGAUGUGAUCACUCUUGAUAAUGUGUCAACACUGGAGGAUGCAUCCCGAGAAAUGCAGCCCCUGCCCUUCUCGUGUGCACGACUAAGCAGGACAGCGGUUCCAGCACUGCAUCCUCAGGUGCUGCAUGCAACCAGGUGACAGGCAAUAUUCAAGCAAAUGCACACACUAAUGCACAACCUGCACCACAUGCCAGAAAAGCAGGCACUGGUGUUGGGAUGUUGACAUUGUUCUGGCUGCGUCACUAUUCCAGCCUGACUAACAGCCCUAUUUUAUGUCCAGUUUCACCUCCAAAUUACAAAUACACCAAUGUGUCACAUUGAGCAACUGUGGGGGUACCUCAGCAGAGUUUUGUUCAUUCUUGUUUCCUGUGAGCUGCUGCAAAACUGAAGUGUCCAGGCACAACAACCUUCAUUCUGUGCUGUGCUUCCUGCAAUGCAUUCCAUGCUGUGUGCGUGCAACUACACAUCUGGGGAGUUGCUUGCAAAACCAGCCAAAGCAACUCAAAGCCAAUCGUGCAUGCAACCCCGGCUUCCCAUCCAUGCAGCACAUUGUCACAUGCACGGAAAUAUACCAGCAAAUCCGCAAAGACCAUCGCUAAAAAGCUCAUGCGGUACCGACUUCUCCUGGAGCUGUUCCAACGCAAGCCCCUCUCAGCAACAGAUCUCAGCCAUCCACAUGCACAGGUGCCCACUGGCCAAGCUCAUGCAGCAUUCCAUUGCAGGUACAUGCCUCACAGAAUAAAGGCCUUACAGCUACCUAGAACUACUGCCCUUUUGCCUUCAUUUCCCCCGAGCCACACAGAACAGUACCAUCUCAGUCUGUGGUAUAUUUAAACCACUGCCAUACACGUCCAUCCUGGCUCACAAUAAUCACGCCGGCAGCUGAUUCAGCACACAAUCUUGCCACGCCAUAGGCUUCCCUUACUAAAGGAGACAGAUUGUUCAGAGGAAAGCCAGAUUCUCACAAAUGCACCCUGCCCAAACACGAUGGCCACGGCACUCGGUAGCUGCCAACACAAGGUCUGCACAACUUGCCAUGCGGCUUUCAAGCUCUACGUGAACUCCAGGUUCCGGUCACUGUUCAGUAAGGCUACUGCAGCACCAGCCCAAAGAUUCAACCACACACUGCUUGCAUACCCAUACAUGCGCAACAUGCACCAUACCAGAGGUUCUGCCUCCACCUAUCCAAACCACAAGCUGCACAUGCCUCCAGGAAGCAAAGCCAAACCACAGACAACCUAGACUUGUGGGUCCUGCCUAGCAUCUUUUUGUAGCUUGUCUCCCGCUCCCCUUUGCAUGACAGUACCUUGCUCUUGGCUCGAUCGUCCAGUGUUCCGCUAAAAAAAAAAAAAAAAAGACGGGGGGAAGGAAAGGAGGUGGCAGAUUCGAUAUUGAAGAGUCAAGAAUACACUGACAGCCUUGGUAUCACUGACAGUACAUGUCGGCCCUUGUCCGACUCAAACAUCAAGUUCACAAUCUCACCUCUGAAAAUCAAAACUUGGCCCAAAAGAUUUCAGAAGCAAAUGCACGUGCGACGGAAUUACAACAUUCUGUUACCUCGCGGAACUGUCGCAAUGCAAUAUCCAGAAUGCCACCAUUUUACAACCAUGAUGCGGCCCUUCUGUGGCAAAGAGACACCUCUUUAGAUGCAAUUCGCAAUCGUAACAUUGCCGGCGAUGUCGUUGUGGCUAGGGACAACGCUCCUCCAGCCCGCAUUAUGACCACUUUGGGGACUGAUCACCAUAUUUUCCCAUUCAAACCCAACAGGAGCGUAUAUAGCAUUGCAGUUGGGAAGCAAGGACGAGCGGGGGGUUCGGCGGUGAAAUCCUUUUUGAAUACUWUCAGAGACVGGGUGCCUCCGACAUGGAAAAUUACGAGGCAACGAACACCACUGACCAUGAUACGAGAGAGGAKCCUGAAUUUUAUAAAUACUCGCAUCGAACAUGUUAUUUCAACAGAGCCCUCUCWGACUGGGAUGCAAUSACACGUUGCCCCCAAUGGAACGGCCAUUUAUCUGUCUUACGCWGACAGACGGUGCGCCCUUGAUCCCARAAAUACCGCUGCCCGUACAUAUCUAUAUCCAGUAUGGCUACACUUUGAUAUCGAUGAUGCAAUGAAAAAGGGCUCGAGAAGCCUGAAAUACACCCAACCUGCACACACUUUCGUAGUUGACACUAAAAAUCUGAUUCAUACAACUAUCCCCUUCAGCAAUGUCCCUAUGCCCCACCAGCAACACCUGCAACAACAACAACAACAACAUCCAGCAAGGUCCACGCGUUAUGUUAAUAUCAACAACAACGGUAACAACGACAACAGCAACAAGCCACAUUCUGUUCGUAUACAGGCUUCCGAUCGGCCCAAUUAUGUUUUUCUCGGCCUAGCAAGCAUUUUCCUGAGUCUGAUCAAGCAGAGGGCGCACUGGUAUGAUAAUCGUUUUGGCCACACUACCAUAGAUUUACACAAGAAUGCAUGCAUUCUCAGCGAUGAGAACAACACAGAUGAGUGGACGUCAAACAGUGAUACCACAGAUGGUGACUCGAAUGAUUCAUGGUCCACCAUGAGUGACUAAAGCCUGUAACACACAAAUACAUCUUUGUCAAGUGAAGCUUUUCCAAAACAUCGAGGUUCAGGCUUGUAUGCCUUGCCUGUUUCUGCAUUUUAAUUGGAACUAGUGUCUUCUUCCUUCCUUCCUCUCAUCAACCUCAUCAACUUCAAUUUAUUUUCCCUUUCCAGUGAAUUGUUUAUUUUAUGAGCAGGCUAGCAGUUGCGAGUGCUGACUGAAGGCCUUUUUCUCCUGUAAAUCCUGUAAAUCCUGUAAAUCCUGUUCCGCUAGGCUACCAACAACCCCCCCCCCCCCCCCCAGCUCCAGUCCCCACCAGGCUACUCAUUCUACGUGUUCAUGUGAGCCCCUCACCGCAUCAUAUCCUUCUCAUGCCGGUGACUAGUGUCGCGGGGUCUCGCGUCUGGGGAACUUGGGGGUGUCGGGCCCACAUCACGUUUGUCUUGCACUCAUCACGCAUUCCACACGCAUGCGUGAGCACGAGCACGCUUCACACACAGAGGGCAAGUCCAGCUGCGGCUGCACUGCAAUUGCUGGCUCAUGGCGCAUAAACACUGCUGCUGUGCUGCCAAACUGAACUCCCCUGAGUGUGGGCGGGCGGGCGCCCCCACGCCAAAUGGCGCCCAGGCCGGCUUCGCUCCAGCUGAUAAAGGGCUGUUGUGGAUACAAGUAUAAUUAAGAAGGGCCAAAACAAGAGGAUUCUCAGACUCCAAGAUUGAUCUCAUACCUCACACAGAAAUUCUUAAUUGACCACUUUAAUCACAUAACAUCAAGCCUCUGUCGCGUAGAGGCCCCAGGUUCUGUUCAGUGCUUGCAUGUGCACACUGCAUGAUGCUUGUAGCACACUUGUAGGCCCAGACCGGCUUGAGUGGCAUAACCAACGCCUGAGCCCCCACCCAAAAGGUCUUGGCAUGCAGGAGGUUUGCGUCCCCUUUUCCUAAGUGAAAAGGUAUCUGGAUGGCAUUCCCCGCAAGGACCGCACCCCCAUCUCUUGUUGGGAAUAGUAUCUGGGUGACGGAACUCAAACUACUGCCUUGGUCAGUGUGGGUUCGACCCAAAUCCUCCCCAAACAGUCUCCCACCUCUCAGCACACCUCACAAGCACUCACCACAAGCAUCCUGCAUGCCAGCCAGGUCUUCCUUCACCAAAUGUGCUUCUGCAAGCUGCCCCAAAGCUGCGGGGAGACCUGUCCUGGCCCUUCCAGGAAGGGCAGCAGCCAAGGAGACAACGCCCUGGGGCAUCAAGAAACAGCCCAUGAAAAGGGGCAUCCAUCCAUGCACAUGCAUUCUACGUCUUUGCAAGCUGCACACAGCCCACACCCAGUGCAUUUUUGACCAUACACAGCCUGUACAUGACAGUAAUCCUUGUUAUGCACGCAAGGAGCAAAAGCUGCGCACACAAAAGCACAGACACUGCACCAACAUGAAACGAAUAACCUCCUUCCCGCUUCUGCUUGCAAUUCACACCUACAAUUGCACGCAUGCUCCCACUCAAAGAAACAAUCUGCUCUUUUUGUUUUUCACCCUUCAGUCUGCUGCACAAUGCCUUUCUCUCCCUGCUCCAAAACAACAUGCACGUGACACACUCUAUAGGCUCCAGUGUUGUUAUUAGGCGCGACGCGUCGCUUUGGGUCGCGAUUUUCAUACUCGGGGGAGCGACCCAGUGACGCCCGCAGGGCGUCGCUGGGGCGCCCCGUGUUGCACCAAGCGACACCAUUUUUUGGGUUUUGAGAACCUUGUGUCAAAGUUAUAAAUGUCGAAUCGUGGCACAUUGCACGCCGCUCGUGAGGGGAACUCGAGUUCGCUCAGCAUUCCCCUGAAAAACUCGGCAAACUACAGUGCUCUGGCAGGUCAGCAAGAAGAGCAGCAGCAGUAACGGGGAGCAACCAAGAGGAGCAGCAGUUAAGGGGAGCAGCCAGCUAAGGAGCCAAGGAACCUCCCUAAAUNNNNNNNNNNNNNNNNNNNNNNNNNNNNNNNNNNNNNNNNNNNNNNNNNNNNNNNNNNNNNNNNNNNNNNNNNNNNNNNNNNNNNNNNNNNNNNNNNNNNNNNNNNNNNNNNNNNNNNNNNNNNNNNNNNNNNNNNNNNNNNNNNNNNNNNNNNNNNNNNNNNNNNNNNNNNNNNNNNNNNNNNNNNNNNNNNNNNNNNNNNNNNNNNNNNNNNNNNNNNNNNNNNNNNNNNNNNNNNNNNNNNNNNNNNNNNNNNNNNNNNNNNNNNNNNNNNNNNNNNNNNNNNNNNNNNNNNNNNNNNNNNNNNNNNNNNNNNNNNNNNNNNNNNNNNNNNNNNNNNNNNNNNNNNNNNNNNNNNNNNNNNNNNNNNNNNNNNNNNNNNNNNNNNNNNNNNNNNNNNNNNNNNNNNNNNNNNNNNNNNNNNNNNNNNNNNNNNNNNNNNNNNNNNNNNNNNNNNNNNNNNNNNNNNNNNNNNNNNNNNNNNNNNNNNNNNNNNNNNNNNNNNNNNNNNNNNNNNNNNNNNNNNNNNNNNNNNNNNNNNNNNNNNNNNNNNNNNNNNNNNNNNNNNNNNNNNNNNNNNNNNNNNNNNNNNNNNNNNNNNNNNNNNNNNNNNNNNNNNNNNNNNNNNNNNNNNNNNNNNNNNNNNNNNNNNNNNNNNNNNNNNNNNNNNNNNNNNNNNNNNNNNNNNNNNNNNNNNNNNNNNNNNNNNNNNNNNNNNNNNNNNNNNNNNNNNNNNNNNNNNNNNNNNNNNNNNNNNNNNNNNNNNNNNNNNNNNNNNNNNNNNNNNNNNNNNNNNNNNNNNNNNNNNNNNNNNNNNNNNNNNNNNNNNNNNNNNNNNNNNNNNNNNNNNNNNNNNNNNNNNNNNNNNNNNNNNNNNNNNNNNNNNNNNNNNNNNNNNNNNNNNNNNNNNNNNNNNNNNNNNNNNNNNNNNNNNNNNNNNNNNNNNNNNNNNNNNNNNNNNNNNNNNNNNNNNNNNNNNNNNNNNNNNNNNNNNNNNNNNNNNNNNNNNNNNNNNNNNNNNNNNNNNNNNNNNNNNNNNNNNNNNNNNNNNNNNNNNNNNNNNNNNNNNNNNNNNNNNNNCACACACACACACACACACACACACACACACACACACACACACACACACACACACACACUCACACACACAAUGGAGCAUGCAUGCGGGCAGGCCUCGCUGAGCUCCUCAACAAGUUCCCUCCCAAGUGAGACACCCCAAAAAUCACUAAUAACAACACUGAUAGGCUCAUGCACCUCAUCCUUGCAAAUACCCUCCAUGGUGACAAGAAAUUCCACCACAUUGGCCACCUGCACGCAUUGCGGUGCAGGACCACUGUCUCACUCUCGCAACGGAGCCCUUCAGCCCUCGCCAAGAGAGAUGAACAGACAAGUCAGUAGCCCACACACGCACACACACACACACCCUGGGAUGCAGCAAAUGGGUGCACCCCCUCGUCAUCAUUAUUUUGAGUCCCAAGUAGGCACCAAGUACCCAGUCCAUGCACUUGCAACUUCAAGCAACGACUCAAUCACACAUAUUGCCCCACCUUUGUACAUGGAGAAAUAAGAAAAGGGUUUCUGCCUGGUCCAUGCCUUUAACAUGGCUGUUGGGUACCCUGAUAUCUCUGGAGUUUCCAUCCUUGACCAAAUUAAAAUUCUGGAAGACACACUCAAGAGGAGAAACCUGCAACAUCUUUACUUAAAGCACUUCUACCGCAAGAACACAGGCAACUUCAACUGCAUAUUGUUAUAUACCACAUUACCUCUCCACCACCAUGCCCUACAGCAGCACUGCGCGUUGCUUCAUCAGGCACAAAAUAAAUGAGCUCCAGAAAGGACAAACCAAUGAAUACCUCCUUGACAGUCUCCUCGCAACCAGUGCGUGCAGCUCUGCUCUUAUUCUAGCAACAAAUGACAGCAGCAACCGCGCACACGAUGUUACUCUAAAGAAAGCCAUAGCUUUGACCAUACAUGCUGGCACUGGUACUCAUUAGACUCUAAUCUACCUCAACCUGUCUGUUUGUCCUCCUGUUUUCACUGGCACAAUCUGCAGUCUCCUUACCAUGGAACCGCAUAUGGAAUAACAUUAGCAACGACUCUGUGCUUAACCUAGCCGACCCCUCCACACCUGUUAUUAGCGCACCUCAGCAGCUGAAUUCCCCCAUUGCACCCUAGCCAGAGCAAUACAGCAUCAGCGGCGACAUGAACCCCGAUGGUAGAACUGAAACAAAUUCCAAUGACACUCAACAACGUCAAAUUCAGUUGAUUAUCUACAGAUCGUAACAUUUAACGUCAAAGGCCUAUACAAAAGCAAAGAUGACCUCUUAGAAUGUUAUGACCAUACUUCCAUCUGGAUCUACCCACACAUAUCUUACGCAGUGUUGCCUGUUUUUGGUUACGUGUUCAUCUUAUGAGGAUUGAGCUAAACUACUGGAAUGAAAGUAUUGAUCCUAAGUGCGAUCUGUGUUAUGCUCACGAUGAUGUCCAGGAUGAGCAAUAUGUACUCACCCUCAUGUUUGCAACCUUAGAAGGAAAUAUGCAUCUUUGUUUAAUGGACAUGCCCUUUCCCUCUCAACUCCAGAGUCUCAAGCGGCACCAUUCCUGCAUGCAUCUCACCAUGUCCCACCGCAUGCCAUGCGAUCUUUUUUGAAUUAAAACAAUAAUAAACUUUAUCCUUUCCUGCAUGAACUUUUACUUUUUUAUGAACAGGCUAGCAGUCAGUCGGUUCGACAGGAGGCCUUUCUUCUCUGUAACUCUUAGAAUAUUAUGACCCUGACAUUUUCUCCUUCACAGGGACAAGAAUACCUUCCUACAAGAACGAACCACCUGAAUGGCUGUGCACACUGCUGCAAGGCUACAGCUGGUGGCAAAAUCCGCAUCACCACAGAGGUGCACUGCUGUGCAUGAAGGAAAGUAUCGCUCUCACAACCCAAGCCAGCCAACUGGUUGUUCCUCCUACUUUACAAGGAAGAGUUGUGGCAAUCAAAAUGCACACACUUCACCUAUCCCUCCUUCUCUAUUCCACCUAUUGGCCAUCAGGUAAUUCACCAGCAAAUGUGUGCGAACGCCAGCACAUGGAAGCAUACAUUAGCGCUACCAUUAGCUCCCAGACCUGCACUUCCGUCCUCAUGGGUGACAUGAAUGCCACCUCAGUCAACACAGACAGACGUAGCCAUGCAGCCUACCAGCAGGACAUCCUAGACGUCUGUUUUUUUUUUGACAAAAGGGCAGCCCCCUUUCAACAUUCCAUUCCAAAAAGUAUAUUUGGCUUCCAAGAACUCUGUUUGGCAUGUGUAACUUUUGCGAUUGAAGCAUCUUGGAUGUUCAAAGUGCACGAGAAGUGAUGUAGAGAAUUUUUGACAGGAUUUUCUUACAAACCAAUAAAUUCGCCCCCAUUAAUGCACACCUCCAGGAGCGCCCCUGGACUUUCUGCACAUGCACCUCCGCAAAUAAAAAUCGUCAUAGCACCUACACAACCAGCUGCAUUGAUGAUGUAUUGCUCCCUGCUGGUCUUCAAUUUCACCCAUUCCUCUUCUGCUCCCCUCAUGACAAAGGAUACAAACACAGUGAUCACCUGCCCUUAAUUUCCAGCAUCCCUGCGCCCAUCCUCCACACAAUGAUUAUGAACCUGCCCUCCAGUCUAACCAAACCCAAGUCAGAAAAAGUUCUCAUCCUCCCCAUCUGUAUCCAGGAUCAAGAAAAACCUUGCUCUCUUUUGUUCUUAACACAAUAAAUUCCGCUUGCCAAGAAGCCCACCACCUAGAGAAUGUUUGCGCCAAGUUUCCAAAUUGACUAAAUCACCUCUGCGGCAAAUCUGCCAAAACAACAAUGAAAACCUUGCAGCAGAUGUUGUUCAAUUGUUCCAGGAAUGCCUUAAAACAGCUCUGAAAAUCUGCAACACCAAAACCAAAGCAAUACACAACAAACACUUCAGACCAGGCAAAUUAAUAAGCCGGAAUCUCUGUCAUCUACUAAAGCAGCUGCGCUAUCUGCAGCGCCAAUGGCCGCUUCUCCAAAGCUCCCAAAACGUAGAAGAACUCCUCCGGCGCAAUGGAAAUAGCUCUCACCAACUUCAAGCCUUAAAACAAGUGUGCAACUUCCUCAACAGAGACAGGAGGAACAAGCACCCUUCAAACUUGCCUGCAAUGGAUCAGAAUAAGAUCACCUACAUUGAUAUCCAUUGAGAAAUCAACAACAUAGACAUACAGCAAAAUGGUAAGCCUCACAAGAAUGCAAAGAAAAAGCUGCAGGAAAGCAUUGCUAAGCAUCCAUCCCGCGCGAGCCAUAAAAUUUUCAAUUAUGUCCAGAACUAAUCCCCCAAUCUUAUGGCACUGGAAGAUCCGCAUACCAAAACAGUCCAAACAGACCCAGCUGUCAUGCGCAUUGUCGUCCGCGCAUCAUUAAUGUCGCGAGUGCAGUGUGAACUGAGGGCCUCUGGGCCAAACUGUGUAUUAUUCCUAGUAAAGACAACCAGUGCAGGCCUGAGUGCACCAUGUGCAAACCAAUGUAGCGUAGGCCUGAGUGCACCAUGUGCAAACCAAUGUAAUAAUGCCUUUGCAGUAGUGUACGUGCCCUGUGGCAAACCAUAAGAGACGUCUUUGCUAUCUAGCCUUUAGCUUUGAGUGCAGGCUCAUCAGGGAGUAACAUGAUGUCAUUCCCCAUCUGAGUAGAACUCACUGUGCUGUUCAGUGUCAGUGUGUUACAGCUGGAGGGCUCGUCAGAGUCCAACAGCUUGUCCAAUAAACUGCAGGCCUUUCCAGUUUGCUGUGAGCAGCAACAAUUAUUAAUAUUAUUAUUGCUCUGUGCAAUUUUCCCUGCUGCCCAGUUUGGUAAUUUCGGUUUAUCACCUUAAUUUUUUUAUCUGUCGCUGUUUUCCACCUCUUUGAAUCUAAUCGUGCUAAGUGUGAGGGCCCGCACUGCACAACCUGACUCAGAGCCCACUGUUCAGCCAGGGAACGAGUGAUGAGUAGAACAAGGAGGAGUUCAAGCAAGGACCAUCAAGUCAUCAGCUAGUGCACUUCUACGUGCUACUGCCUUCACCGGUCAGGCACACCCUUCUAAAGGAAAACCUGUAACGACCAAUUUUAUGAAGAACCAGGCGCUGCUGUGAUGGACGCAGGCUGGUGCAACAUGUGAUGCUGGCACUCAUGGUUCUUGUAAUCCUGGGCUUGUGUUUGCUGUGCACUUGCGGAUAGCUGACAAUUGCUGAAAGCCUUUUAUGGUACAGCUGACAGAGGCAGAGAGAGGCAGAGAGCCAGCAUCAAGUCCUUACAUUUGUACACACAGCACAAACGUACCACCCAACGGGCAGCAACAAUAAUAAUGACUCACCCUACAAAAUUAUGACACCAGAGCAAUUUAUCCCAUCGCGCAACAAUAAUCUGAGUCAAAGCAAAGAUUUCCUGGGAGUAAGCAAGAGUCUCCUGAGGCGUAAACUAAAUCUCUGACAAUCUCCAAGAUGUUUGUUCUCAUUCACAAAAGUACUCAGAUGCAAGGACACACAAAGUCGUGACACAAUGAUGUUUGAUCAACGUUUGCCUUCUCGCAACAAGCAAAACAUUUAUUCAAAAUAAACAUAACACAAUUGCUCGAGUAUCUCACACAGAUAGCAAGUCUCCUGGCUCUGAAUGCAACGUUCUCUGGGCAAGUCCUCACUCCUAAUCAUAUCCAGAAUCCAAGGCCAUUGGCUGGGGGACUGCCAUACUAAUUGAGCCAGGUGCAGAUGUGUUGUGUCCUUCUUCACACUCCAAAUGUCUUCAGCAGGCUUGCUGUUGUAUGCCUGCUUGCAUCAAAACAUGCAGAAGCAAAAUAAAGGCAUGGAUGAAUGUCCAAAGCAAAGUGUCUUAGCUGGUAACUUAGCGCCUCAAAAGACUAAUCAGGUGAUAUGUUCUCUUGCAAGCUUGCAUGCAGAACUUUAAGAUGCAAAAUGCAAUCAUGGCCUGUGGCCCCAUCACUAGAAAAGGCUCCUCAUGCAAUAGAAUAGGUGUGCAGACAAACAGAGCAUGACCUCGCUGAUGCCACAGACUGUUACUUGCUGCUAGCAACGGUAUGUGCUACCAGUCUUUCAAGUUUCCACUACAGGCAGGAUGCCUGCAAACACAACGCUGGGAGAAGAGAAACACAAUUAUGGUCAUACAAAAUCUACACUUCACUAGGGAGUCUAGGUACACAGAACUGCAGGCUCAAACCCUCAGAUUUGUGUGGCUGUAGCUGUAACUCACUCAACGCCCAGCCUACUCUGUUGUACAAACUGAGGCCUGUGCAGCAUUCAUCACAGCUCAAGCCGAGGAGCAGGAGAGCAGCCUUGGCAGAAGGGGCAGCAAACCUCACUCCUCCUGUCCCACAUAUUCAAAGAGCACCUCCGGUGAGACAAAUCUUCUUGCCAUCUUUUGGGGCACUUUUGCCAUCCAUCCCUUCGCAGCACGAGCAUCCCCAGCCCUCACAUGAGCCGAGCAACACUCAUAAGCAUCAAGCUGCUGCUGUCCGACCUGUGCUGGCCUCGGAGGCCUCUUGCUUACGGUAAUACGGUUGCUGACGUGUCAACAAUCUUCCCGAAUCUUGUCUUUCCCGCCCUCCCUGCUGGCCUGUACAACCAGCUCAACCUUUCUAGCAGCAACCUGAGUUGCUGCACAACCUGGUCGGAGCCAAAGGGGACGCCCGGAGGCCACUUCCAGCAAAUCUCUGUUCAUCACACUUUUUGCACCACUCAUCACCUUGUCAUUUUCCCUCCUGCCCCUCUGCUUUCCUCAUCAACAGUUCUUCGGGCCUCCUAGGCCAUCGGUCACCUGUCGGCGCCCUCUGUCGGACGCCCUCGAGCUGCUGCACAUUUUUGCCUUCACUGUUGGGCUGUCCUAGGGGUCACUCAUUCCAUCUACCCUUUCCCUUUUUCCUACAUACUUGUUUACCCCUGAGAAGCUGGCCAGACAACCUCUGAGCAACUUUGGUGCCCCCAUGCCAAGCUGAGCUCAGCCUGGCACUGUCAACGCUUAGCAACUUAGCUGGCUACCCUGCUCAUGGUAUCGGUGAGUCUCCCUUUCUGGUUCUAGAGGUUCCUUGCAGUGCAGCAGAGGACAUUCUUGGUGCAGGUUCUUGGGGCCACCUGCUGCUCCUACCAGCUCCACCUCCCUGCUGGCCUGUCCUUGCUUAACCUCCGCCUCUCUCCUAUUCCGUCCGCGCAGCCUCCGCCUCUCUCCUAGUCUGUCCGCGCUUAACCUCCACCUCUCUCCUAGUCUGUCCGCGCUUAACCUCCGCCUAUCUCCUACUCUGUCCGCGCGUAACCCCCGCCCCACUGGUCUGUCUGCACUCUGUGCUGUGGGUCUACGGUCUACGGCAUCUCUCCUCAUUUUUCCGCUCUCACACUGGGCUACCUGGUCAACCCUUGUAGCUACUGUCCUGAACCCUCCUCAAUUCUGCACGCGUGCUGCUGACAACCAGUACCCUGCAUCUCUUCAGGGCCAGCUCACCCCUUUGUAUGACGGGCAGUAACUAGGGCGAGUUUUCUUUGUUGUGUGCAGCCACUGCAGUUAUUUCUGCUUUGACCAUUUCUUUGCAGGCACUCCCUGAUUGGCCUGAGGAACUGUUUCACGCGGUCCUGGACACUGCCAUUCCAGACUGCUAUGUCAGCUUCCUCUCCAACCGCUUCUUACAGGACUUUGCUUGUAUACGCUACUUAGCCGGCCUUUUACAAGCCCAGCCUGUCCCUCCGACCACCGACCCCUUCCGCUAAAUUUCCCCUGCCACUCUCAACGUGUCGCAUCUGGUCUACCAGACCUACGGCUUUGACAAGGCAGCUUAUAAGGAGCUUCAAGACUAGCUGCAGUCUGGACUAGGAGCUUCUCUCGCAACAUCACGAAUGAAACGAGUGACCCCAUCCCCACGUGUCGGGGCACAAGUCAUGUCUGAUGACUAUUCGCAGAUUCUCACUGAACUGAGGAAUAUGAACAACAACAACAAUGCUCGAUUCGACAAGAUGGAAGAGUUGAACACCUCCACUGUGAGGGAAGUGCAAAGACUUGCAUCGUCUCUUGAUUAUGCUAUACACGUUGCUGUAGAUGCGCAGAACCGGGCAAACCACGCUGAAAGCGAGCUGCACGCUGUCAAACAGCACCUGGCAUCAGUGGCUCCAGGGGAACUUGACAAGGUGAUUCGAUGGUAUGAAGAUACUCGCCGGGCUGAUAUAGAAUUCGAGGCCAUUUCUGGCAAUACUUUCAUCCAGGCCCCCAACAACAUUUCUGCUACCCCAGAGACCAUUGCCAACGCUCUCAACACCGACAAACCUGUGAUCCAGAAAAUGAACCGACACAACCAACCAACAAACUCCUUCCGAGUUAUUGUCGGCCCAAGAGGUCGCGAGGGCACUGUUGCCGUCAACAACUUUCUCCCUGCUGCCCAACACCGAGCACCACAAGGAUACAAAGUUCAACGCGAGAAAACCGUUCUGACCAUCCAGCGUGAGAAAGCUGUACGUCAAAUAAAAACUGCGGUCCGACAAGUGCUAUCCACCCAACCAACACUGCAAGAUUUCACUACACACGUUGGGAGCAAUGGAUGCAGCCUCUUUAUUUCCCACGCUAAUAGGAAGGAUGCGAUGGAUCCCACCAAGGCAGACGCAGCAGCUUUUGAAUACCCAGUCUGGGACCACGUCCCAUAUCACAAGACGAUGAACAACUUUCGAGGUGGCUUUGACUAUCAGCACACCCAACACUUAAAACACACAAAUAUCUUAUCACGUAUCCAAGCCGCUUUGCCUAAUAGCCUCGACACACAGAUGGCCGAUGCAUCUCCUCAACCUAUCAGGCCUUCUCGAACAACACCACAGAGGCCAGUUACAAACAACAACACCAACAGCAACAAUGCCAUCAACAACAGCAGUAUUCCUAUCUAGGGAGUUGGCCUUCAGUCAAAACUCAGGCUUCUACUACUAAAUUGCGAUGGAAUACCUGAGAAUACCGAAUCAUUAAAGAUGGAAGAACUCGUCCUCAAUCUCCAACAACACCAUAUAAUAGCAUUAACGGAGACAAGAACUAAUGACAUGAAUCGGAUCCUCCAAUUUCUGCCACACCAUGUUGUUAUUGGGAAUAGAUAUAUACCCUCAUCUUUUUCUGAGCGCAAAGGGCAAGGGGUUGCAUUGAUAGUCUUCAAAGCUAUUGCCAAAUACUUUACCUUUUUAGGUGUUUCUCCUACUACCCAGACGAUCUACGCAUGCUGUGAAUCUCACCUGUUUGGGAAAGAACAGCCUGUGGUUUUUGCAGUCACAUACAUUGCUCCGGAGCAAAGCGAAGACAGACACAAUCUGACUUCCCAAUACCUUCACCUAGGACAAGAACUCCAGCAGUAUCUGUCCUCAUUCUCUCCACAUCUUAUUGUAUGCGGGGAUUUCAAUGCUCAUAUUGGCGAUCGGGAUGAAAUUACUGAUGCUCAUUUUGACCUUUUCAAUGCGUGCCCAUCCCUAUUAUCUGAGCGACGAGCUCGAUGUCUUGACGUUAAUAGGGCAGGACAGUAUUUAAUUCAUUUGGCUUCUACGCUGGGCCUCACUUUAACCACUGGAAGAGUACCUGGGGAUAAGGGACAACCAACCUUUGUUGGCUACAACAAGACGUGUGAAAGUAGACCUGAUCAUAUACUUACGUCCAGAUCAAUGUUUCCUCACAUCAAGAACACAAAAAUUACUAUCCCUAGACUGUUGGACCACUGUUAUCUUUCUGUGUCUUUAUCCAUGACCUCCAGUAUCCCAGGUGUUGAUUUCAGAUUGUAUAGAUAUCCCGUGUAUGGUCCCCACUUAAACUUCCUGAAAUGGAAACCUGAAAGGAGUAAUGACUAUGUCACUUUUCUUGAUCAAGACACCCUUGCACAACAGAAGUUUUAUCAUAUGAUUGCGGCGGACAAUGUGGAACAUGCUUGGUCAGAACUUAAGAACUGGAUCUUACGCGCUGCUAUUCACUCUGGAAUGACCACGGCAGGAACUCACACACGUCCACCUUCAAGAUGUACACCACAAGCAGAGUGGUUUGACAGAUCCUGUCUUCAUAAAAAACAGACAUAUCUAGAUGCUGCAUACCGUGGGACAGAUCCCGACAUUAAAAAUCAGUUAUUCCAUGAUUACAGAUCUUACGCCCAGUAUUGCAAGAGACGCUUUUUCAAUAUGAAGCGGCGUACUUUCUUGCAAAAACUAUUUGACAAUGAUCCAACUGUCCACAGGAUGCUUAAGAAGCCUGCUGAAAAGUACGUCACUCCUGUAUCUGAAGACGCUUGGUCAUCACACCUUCACGCUGUGUUCCGACCCACAUCUUUUCGUUGUGAUGAAGAGGAAGUUGAGAGAAGAGACACAGUACAACAGCCACCAGCAGCCACAGCAACUGAUUCAAGGGUGCCCCCCAUCCAACAUGAUGCCAACGAACAGGGACUCAAUGAUUUGCCUCAGGAGCCCUCAUCACUUUUCGGUAUUCCUAAUGAAACAGAACUUUUCAGGUUGGUUUCUUGGCAUAUCUCUUCAAUGCCGUCUCAUUCCUCCUCGGGCUUUAAUGUCAUUUCCCCAGCCUUUAUUAAAAACGCUUACAAAUGUGUACCCAGACAGCAAGGUAGAGGGACAGAAAAUAUUCAUGUGUUGGCACCACCUCUAGCUUCCUUUUUUCAUCUACUUAUUCGGAAAGCACGUGUUCCAGAUGCUUGGAAGGAAGCUAAACUCACCCCAAUCUACAAGAAGGGCCCCGUUGUUUCUCCAACUAAUUAUAGGAUGAUAGCUGUGAGCGCUCCUAUCUACCGGUUGUACACUAAUGUCCUGAGAUCCAUUAUUCAGGAUUGGUGUAUCCACCACAGGAAAUUCUUGAUACACAAUAUGGAUUUUAUCCAGGAAGAAGUACCCUUCAACCACAUCCUACAACACCUGAAAAACGCAGCCCAAAAAGCUCGGAAUGAUACCUCCAGAUUGUUUACAGCAUUUAUUGAUUUUCAGCAAGCGUACAAUUCUGUUCCUCGGGAAAAGCUGUGGAAACAUUUGUAUCAUUGUCGUCUACCUCACCAACUCAUUGCUAUUCUCCAGGAUCUGUAUCACAUGGAUGUAUAUACUCCGCUUGAUGGUGACAAAAUGGCUAGUGUUCAGCCAGUGUGUGGGGUUAAACAAGGAUGUCCUCUAUCACCUCUUCUUUUCGYAAUUUAUCUCAACGAYAUUGAUACUGUYGCAGARGGUGUACAAGGUGCUCUGACAGCCAYCCCAAAUUUAACGGUGACMCAUUUACUUUUUGCUGAUGAYCUGGCUUUUACAGCAAACARGCAACCAAGUUUACAAAAACUUCURAACAACUUGAAAGACUAUGCCAUGAGGAAAUCUUUGGUUGUYAAYACGCASAAAUCCCAAGUGAUGUGUGUAAAUUCCAGGUCUGACAAUCUGCCGACUUUUUUCUAUGAUGGGUCACCCUUACCUUACACUGACCRUUUCAAAYAUCURGGGAUGGUGAUUGAUAAGCAAUUUCAUCUUUCRACAGCAGCAGACGCAGCCUUACAGCCUCUGGUGAAUGGGACUUUCAAAAUACAACGCUUUGCUCAGGAGCACGGUCUAACCAACCGACUUCAUGCUCUCAUUUGGUUACUUAAGACUUACUCCAUUCCUGCUGGUAUGUAUGCAAGUCAGAUUUGGGCAACCCCCUUCCUUAAGCAAGGUAAAGAAAUGGACGACCCAUUACAAAAAUGGAUUAUUGCAACACUUAAAAGGUGGCUGGGUGUCAGAGAUACAACUCCUUCUUGGUCUGUGCUGCGAGAGUGUGGGCUUGAACCGCUACAACUCAAUUGGYUCCGAGCAGCUAUUCGUCUGUACAACUCGUUUACACAAUGCAAUAGCAUCACGGUCAGAAAGGUCUUACAGGCGGAUAUCUGUUUAUCUUCUUCCUCUUGUGACUGUUGGUCUUCACACAUAAUUAAUGCCAUGGAUGGAUUGCAUCAUGCUAGUCAAUUCAAGCACAACAUAAUGAAUUGUGAACCAAUCCACCUUCGACAAUUUGUGGUUGACCUCAGAUCCAGACAGGUUCAUUAUUGGACUCAAUUCUCCGGCCCCACUCCCAGACAGCGGAAUAGCAAACACCGUACUUAUCAUCAUUGGUGUGUGAUACCUAUCCGCAACAUUGUAGCCACCCAGGCCCCUUAUCAAACUCCCAAAUAUUUCUACCUUGCCCUUCCCAACGAUGUUCUUUGCAAUGUUGCCCGCUUUAGGCUUCGUGUCCAUACUCUUCAGUAUGAAACAUCUACUUGGAAUCAGGGUUCUUCCUCUCAUUGUGAUUUAUGUCAGGAUGUAGAUUGUAUCCAAGAUGAAAAACAUGUUAUUUUUCACUGUACUCACCCCCAUGUCGUUGCAUUGCAUGCUAAGUAUGCCUUCCUAUUCAAUAAUCAGGAGGCUCAAAAUGUUCGUAAUUUUCUUCUUCAAGAUAAUAAUAAACUUGCUUAUUUUAUCCAUGAAAUUGUUACUUUUUAUGAACAGGCUAGCAGUCGUGCGUUUUGACUGAAGGCCUUUUUCUUUCCUGUAACCCUGUAACCCUGUAACCCUAGCUGCAGUUCCACAACUACGGCAUAGCUGCUGCAUACCUCUCUUGCCUCAACCAGGCAGGGAACAGGUACCCUGAGCUGCCACCAAACCCCACAACCCAGCCUCCUUUGCCCGCACCUCCCGCAGCACAAGCCCCUGUACAACCAGCACUUUCUCCUCCUGUGCCUUUCCACCCCUUCUGCAGCGCCGUGAGCAACAACUUCUUUCAUCGCGUGAGACGCCUGUGGGUGAGACUGAGCCUGUUAAAAGGCCAACACCCCUCUACAGUUACAGUUACAGUUACAGAGAAGAAAGGCCUGCAGUCAAAUCGACUGACUGCUAGCCUGUUCAUAAAAAAGUAAAAGUUCAUGCAGGAAAGGAUAAAGUUUAUUAUUGUUUUGGUUCAAAAAACAUCGCAUGGCAAUCGGUGGAACAUGGUGAGAUGCAUGCAGGAAAGGUGCCGCUUGAGAUUCUGGAGUUGCGAGGGAAAGGGCAUGUUCAUUAAACAAGGAUGCAUAUUUCCUUCUAAGAUUGCAAACAUGAGGGUGAGUACAUUUAAAUAGCACAUGUUGUUCAUCCUGAACGUCAUCGUGAGCAUCACACAGAUCGCACUUAGUAUCAAUAUUUUCAUUCCAGUAGUUUAGCUCAAUCCUCAAAAAAUGAACACGUAACCGAAAGCAGGCAACACUGCGUAAAAUAUGUGUGGGCAGAUCCAAAUGGAAGUACUUGGGCAAACAACAUAGGGAGAAGGUAGCAUGAGCGUCACGUUGUGGAAGGGCACACCAAUGAUGGUAGGUGAACGUUUUACUGUUUGUGUCAGGUUCCCGUGGCUGACGAGCAGUAAAAAAGGGUUGCUGCCAGAAUGCCAAAUGACGUUUCCAAAGGUCUACAACAAGUUGACUCAGAUUCAGAGGACUGCCAUUGAUAAUAUGAUGAUGGUAAGAUGGAGUAUGCCUAAGACCUUGUGUACCAAGCAAGAGAUGAGAAAUCCAGCAUGCAGGAUGGAAUUGGCUGAGUGAAAUGUCUGCCUGAAAAACCUUACGAAGGAGAGGGCUAUUACAAAAAAUGAGGUUGUUGUAAAGGCGUGCACAUGCUCGAAGCCAAUUCAAUUGCAUGGGUUUUAAGCCACAUUCCUGUAACACACUCCAUGAAGGUGUAGAAUUCCUGACCCCUAGUAUGGUGCGUAAAAAUUGUAAGAGCCACUUUAGAAUGCAAUUUUCCAUCUCUUGACCCUGUUGCAGAUAGGAAGUGGCCCAAAUCUGAGAAGCGUACAUGCCUGCUGGGAUGACAUAAGUUUUGAAUAACCAGAGAUACGCAUGUAAACGAUGAGUGAGACCAUGUUGUUGAAUAAAAGUACGCAUUCUGGCCAUGCUUGCCAGGCACAGCUUGAUAGCCUCCUCUGCAGCUUUGUUCAGAUUAAACUUCUUGUCACAAAACAUGCCUAGAUAUUUGAAAUGCUCAGAGAAAGGCAGUUCCUCAUUGUUGUACAGGAGAGUAGGCAUAUUGUGACCCUGCGAAUUAAAACACACCACAACAGAUUUCUGUGUGUUGACGGUCAGGAAGUUGUCACGGGAGUAUGUGGAAAGGCGAUUCAGCAUUUGCUGUAAAUUGGACGGGGAGUUAGAAGUGAGGCACAGGUCGUCAGCAUAAAGGAUAUGGGAGACAGCAAGGUUGGGAAUUCCUGUACACGCGGCUGGGAUAUCAUGAAAGAUGCUAGGGAUGUCAUUCAGGUAUAAGGAAAAGAGCAAAGGAGAUAAGGGACAACCUUGUUUGACACCAUGUGUUGCUUUGAUACGCGCGUGUUUGUCUCCAUCAACCAAAAUGUAUUCAUCAUCUUGGUACAGAUUCAUAAGAAUAUGAAUGAAAUGUGAAGGCAGUCGACACUUCUGUAAAUGUUGCCAGAGUCGAUGUCUGGGUACAGAGUCAUACGCUUGCUGAACAUCAUUAAAGGCAGCAUACAGACGAGAAGAGUGAUGUGGUUGAUGAAUUUGUGCAGCAUUCCUCAGAUGACAGAGAAAAAAGAGUGGGUGAAGAGUACUGCGCCCAGGAUAAAAACCAAAUUGAGAGUCAGGUAUUGAAUGAGUUUGCUCACACCAGUCUUGCAAAAGGGUACGAAGCACAUUGGUAUAAAGGCGAUAAAAGGUCCCACUUACAGCAAGCAUGCGGUAAUUACUGGCAUGUACAAUGGAACCUUUUUCACACAGAGGGGUGAGUUUAGUAGUCUUCCACUCUGAAGGUAUGGAGGCUUUAAUAAAAAGCAAAUGAAAAAAGGUUGAAAUGAUUGGUGUCAGAACAUUGGUUUGUUGGAAGGCUCUGCCGUCAUCAUGCCUAGCCACUGUGCAAGCAUACUUGAGAAAAGCUGGCAAAAUAGAGUCAAAUCCUGGUGAUGAGCUACCGUUGAGGCGUGAAAUGUGGAGCGCCACAAUCUUAUGUAUUUGACUCUCGUCAGGAAGAGGAAAACUAUCAGAAGAGGGCGCAUCGUCUUGUGACUGGUGGUGCCCACUAAGGGAAGGAACAGUAUGUGCAUGAAGUGAAGAAGAGGAGCUCGUGGAUCGUAGGAAAACUUUAGACAGAUGUUCCUGCCAUGCUGGAAGGGACACGGGUGUGGUAUGUUUGACAGGUUGUUGUCUCAAGAAAGAAUGAACAGAUGGAUCCUUGCGGUAAAGUUUGUCCAUGAAAGCAGCAGCGCGCGCAUGGGUAAAUCUGUGUUUUGCCCGUUGUACUUGCGCCUUGUAUUGGCGAUGAAGUUGUUGGCAAGCAUGCCAGGCUAGCCCAGAUUUAACUGCGAGAAGAAACUCUUUCUUUCUGGUUGCACAUUCCAGAUCAAACCAAAAGGGUCGUCUAGAAGUUGAACGAGGAAAAGUUGACCUGGAUAUAGUCAUGCCCACUCGAGGGUCACACGCUGUCUGUAUAAUCCAAGAUUUGAGCUCCUACUAUGACGAAUCAACAUCUUGUGCCUGAAUAUGAUGUAAAAAAAAGUUACGUUUCUCGUCAUUGUUACGGAGGAUUUGAGCAAAAAGGGUGGCGCGAUCCGGUCGCCAUCUUAAGAGAAAUUCUUGACAUUGUGAGGGUAAAAGAAAAUUACAUAUGGGUGAUUGAAGUCUCUUAUCUAGAUGCCCUGUUGGACUGGAAGAGGGGACAAAAAAAUUGGAUAGAGCGGCGUGGUCAAAACAUACAGGAUGUGAUUUUAGCACCGUGCAAUAGCGAGAACACCCCUCUACUCACCCAAAGUCCUCUGACCCCUCAGCUGCUGCCCCCCUAGGCAAGUCAACCUCUGCCCGCACUGACCGCUGUGCCCCAUCAGAAACACGCAGGGUCCAGCCCCCGGCAAGCACCAGGCACGACACCCCAGAGCGUCGCCCACCACUCAGGCCCAAGCGCCAACCAUCUUCCUCACCUAGCUCCUCAUCCUCUUCCUCAGGUGGUUCCUCUCGCAGGUCCAGCUCACUUGGGCGUCAAGAACGCAGCAGACACACCCCUCACAAGAAACCUAAACCCUCUGCAACUCCGCCUGCACGCGCGCCUGCCACUGGUCAACCACCGCCCGCAGGCUACCCCACUGCACUCACUCCUAGACCUGUGACAGGGUUUGAACAGACCCCACGGCAACAGCCUCAAGGCUCUGCUGGAUGCCCUGACCAGGAAGAACCACUAGACUACGGCCCUGCGCCUGACCUCCAGGUCACAGCAACUGGCUCUCUAGACUUCUCACAAAGCCAGGAGCAGCCACCCGCUGCACCAGAGCCUCAUCCCACACCCCACGCCACCGCACAGACCCACGCAGGCACAACUCCAACUCAGCCUGGCACAACGCCUGUAGGUCAGACGAACACAGGUACAGCUGGUGCCCAACCCAACAUAGCCACUGCUGACACCGGUCCUGCCUCGACUGCUGGUGCUGGCUUGCCCUUCCCUGUCAACACUGCCCCUGCUCUGCCUCCUGCCGCUGGACCUGGCCAACCAGCUGCUGCCCCUGCUGGCACAACAGUGUUUCCUGGCUCUGCUCCACCGCCCUCCAACGCUGGCCACACCCCACCUCAGUCUGUGGUAUACCCUAUUGAAGCCGCAGCUCAUCUCGUUUCCAACCCGCACAGCCCUGUCCCCUUUGUGCCUCACAGCGUCCACAUCACCAUCCAACCUUCAAACCAGGGUCAGGCGGCAUUGGCACAGUUGCGUGAAGUGCACCAGAAUACGUGUAACUACGUGCAGCAGCAGGUUAACAGCUUGAUGGAUGGGCAGUGCAUCGUAAUUGUGUCAACUGAGUCUACCCAGGUCAGUGGGCUUCUCCAUUAGCUUUAGACACCAUUGACCCUGCAGCUAGACGUCUCUCCGGUAUCAUUAGCACAGGUGUGCAAGGUAAAGCGCAACAGGUGCACUCAUCCCCAAUCAAUCUACCGCCACCUGAGCCCAGUGUUUUCCUGCCAUCUCCAGCACAUAGCGCGCAUCACUCUGCCCCCAACUCCUCUCGUGACAACUUCCUGACCGUCAACACACAGAAAUCUGUUGUGGUGUGUUUUAAUUCACAGGGUCACAAUAUGCCUAAUCUCCUGUACAACAAUGAGGAACUCCCUUUCUCUGAGCAUUUCAAAUAUCUUGGCAUGUUAUGUGACAAGAAGUUCAAUCUGAACAAAGCUGCAGAGGAGGCCAUCAAGCCUUGCAUGGCGAGUAUGACCAGAAUACGUACUUUUAUCCAACAACAUGGUCUCACUCACCGUUUACAUGCGUAUCUUUGGUUAUUCAAAACUUAUGUCAUUCCAGCCGGCAUGUAUGCUUCUCCGAUUUGGGCCACUUCCUAUCUGCAACAGGGUCAAGAGAUGAAGAAUUGUAUUCAAAAGUGGCCCUUGCAAUUUUUACGCACCAUACUAGGGGUCAGGAAUUCUACACCUUCAUGGAGUGUGUUACGGGAAUGUGGCUUGGAACCCAUGCAAUUGAAUUGGCUUCGAGCAUGUGCACGCCUUUACAACAUUCUCAUUUUUUGUAACAGUCCUCUCCUUCGUGAGGUUUUUUAGGCGGACAUUUUACUCAGUCAAUUCCAUCCUGCAUGCUGGGUUUCUCACUUCUUGCUUGGCAUACAAGGGCUCAGGCAUACUCCGUCUUAUCAUCAUCACAUCCUCAAUGGCAGUCCUCUGAAUCUGAGUCAACUUGUUAUAGAUCUUCGGAAGCGUCAUUUGGCAUUUUGGAAGCAACCCUUUUUUACAGCUCAUCAGCCUCGGGAACCUGACACGAACAGUAAAACGUUUACCUACCAUCACUGAUGUGCCCUUCCACAACGUGACGCUCAUGCUACCUUCUCCCCAUGUCGUUUGCCCAAGUACUUCCACUUGGAUCUACCCAGACGUAUUAUACACAGUGUUGCCCGCUUUUGGUUACGUGUCCACCUUUUGAGGAUUGAGCAAAACUACUGGAAUGAAAAUAUUGAUCCUAAGUGCAAUCUGUGUGAUGCUCACGAUGAUGCUCAGGAUGAGCAACAUGUGCUAUUUAAAAGUACUCACCCGCAUGUUUGCAACCUCAGAAGGAAAUGCGCAUCUUUGUUUAAUGGACAUGCCCUUUCCCUCUCAACUCCAGAGUCCCAAGCGGCACCGCUCCUGCAUGCAUCUCACCAUGUCCCACCGCAUGCCAUGCGAUCUUUUUUGAUUCAAAACAAUGAUAAACUUUAUCCUUUCCUGCAUGAAAUAUUACUUCUUUACAGGGUUAGAGGAAAAAAAGGCCUUCAGUCAAAAUGCGCGACUGCUAGCCUGUUCAUAAAAAGCAACAAUUUCAUGAAUAAAAUAGACAAGUUUAUUAUUAACUUGAAGAAGAAGAUUACGUACAUCUUGAGCCUUUUGGUUAUUGAAUAGAAAGGCACACUUAGCACGCAAUGCAACGACAUGAGGGUGAGAACAGUGAAAAAUUGUCAUGCCACAUAAGUGCGGCAUCUGAUUCACCAACUUGGUUUGACUAUCCACUAACAUUCCAGAGGCUGAUCCAGAGCAGGUUAACAGUAUUGAAGAAGUGGGUUUAACGUCCAGAGGCUAGGUAACUCUAGCACAAAGGACAGCUGCCAAAUCCUGAGCAGCUUGACUUACUCUGCCUACCUGAGGCUUGCUUAGCUAAUUUCCUGGCUGGAACCUGACAAACACGAUACGUUACCACACUUUGGGCUGCCACACCAGUCCCCUCCCCAAGGGCUGAUCGGCCUUAGCCGGGCAUACUCACGAUGGCGGUCUUCUCACUUGAUGAGUAAUGAAUACAACCAAAGCCAGAAACACGGAAGUCUUCAAUACUGGCUGUGCCAGUCUCUCAGCCACCAUAAAUAUCAGGUUCAACGACCAACCGCCAAUCUGAAGGUCAGCAGCAAUAUAGCAAUGACAAAAAUCUCGCGUGACAAAAUAACAUGAUUUUCAUCUUGAAUACGAUCUACAUCCUGACACAAAUCACAAUGAGAGGAAGAACCCUGAUUCCAAGUAGAUGUUUCAUACUGAAGAGUAUGGACACGAAGCCUAAAGCGGGAAACAUUGCGAAGAACAUCAUUGUGAAGGGCAAGGUAGAAAUAUUUGGGAAUCUUAGAAGGGGCCUGGGUGGCUACAAUGUUGCGGAUAGGCAGCGCACACCAAUGAUGAUAAGUACGGUGUUUGCUAUUCCGUUGCCUGGGAGUGGGGCCGGAGAACUGAGUCCAAUAUUGGACCUGCCUGGAUCUGAGGUCUACCACAAAUUGUCGAAGGUGAAUUGGUUCACAAUUCAUUAUGUUGAUCUUAAAUUGACUAGCAUGAUGCAAUCCAUCCAUGGCAUUGAUUAUGUGUGAAGACCAGCAGUCACAAGAGGAAGAAAAUAAACAGAUAUCCGCCUGCAAGACCUUUCUGACCGUGAUGAGUGAAAGAAAAGAAAAGAAAAGAAAAACUGCGUAGGCAGAGAAACUCCCCCUACAUCAAUUAAGGAAAAGGAGACACAUUGGCUCCGAAGAGCCGUGAGUCUCCCCCACCACAAGGAAAGAAGGAAAAACAAGUGGGGAUCAGGUGGGUUUCUAGAGGCACAAGGCCCUAGAACCUGGCUGUGGGAAGUAACAUUGUUUGCAAUGGCACGUCUGGUGGUAACAAGUUUGUGAGCGUAAAUAGCGGAAUGGGCAUUCAGGCUACAAGCAAGUUUAGUGGCACGUUCGUGGCUCAGACCAAGCUUUUUGAAUUGAUUGAGGGUUUGCUUGAUGUAACUUGUUCCGCCAACGCCCAGGAGAAUGGGGUGAAUAGUGACACUUUUAGCAUCAAUGAGUUUGCUCAAAUGUGCAUGUUGUUGCUUAUCUUAGCCGCCGCCAAUUUAUGCUCGGGUCUCGUAUCCUCACAGUACUUUAUUUCAAUCAGGUGCACAUGCCUUUGGUUGGGAGCUAGAUGGUGAGGCUGUCUCACUCGGCUGGCCGUGCUGGUCCUCUGCAUGUUCCUGUGCCUGUUACGCAACAUAUAGCGUGAGGGAGAGUCAGAGGAUGAAGAAGGAGAAGAAGAAUUGGGUUUGGCAUUAUAAGGGGUGAUUAAGAUAGCAUCAGGACGGCUGGUAGUGAGUCUAGAUCUCUCCAAAAUGUUUCGAGGAAAUCAGUAAUCAGGUAUAGUUCUGUUUGAAGCAUGAGCAGGAAGUUGAAGAUAAUGCUGUGCUAGCCGUUCAUGUUUUCCUACAUCUGUAUAAAUCAAGCCUGCUCCACGAGGGCUUUUGCUAAGAGCUUUUAUGAUCAUUCUGCCAUUAUGACGUUCAGUUUUCAUGUUAGAGAUGAUAUGAUUUUGGCAACCAGAGAGCAUGUGGAGAGCGCUAUCUAGUUGUUGACAGCCUGGGAAAGGGCAAAGAGGGUCAGUGGAUCGUUUAAAGCGCACGGCAUGUUUUUGAUUAUAGAGGGUGCCAGUACGAUAUUGAAAAAUGGUGCGCUUUACAGAAAAAAAAAAAGAAAAGAAAAGGCUACGCAGUCUUGAGGCCGCGUGCAUUAAGGGAAGAAACCCUAACAAAAGUUAGAGGCCUCACCAAGAGGCCCUACAGGAAAGGAUAUUCCAGGCAUGGUCCUGAAGGCAUUACUGAUCUUCUUUUCAACUUGGGGUAGCAAACUUUGAUAGUAAGGGUAGUAACCUAUUUUGGUAUUGGCAUAUCCAAGCUUGUGUUUAGAGUGCAUGUGUAGCUGGAGUGCAGCGUGGAGGUUGGAAAGGUAUGUGAGUUUUGAAGUGUGUACAGGGGCUAUGGAAGUGCUCGCGGCAUGUUCCCUUGUUUCCUCCUUGGCUAACCAAAAAAUUCGUGAGAAAGGGUUUCCGGCAGGGCCUGCACAGGGGAUUUCAGUAUCCGCCACACUGUUGUUUGCUUUGUCAGCCUGAUACUUUGCUAUAGCAUCUGCACAUUCAUUCCCGGAAAUGCCUGCAUGGGCUUUUACUUUGCGAACAUAAAUUUUGACAUGAGAGUUCUUAAUAAGAGUUAAUAUAAUUCUGAGGAUAUCUCCUUGGAUGUGCUCCCUGUGCUUCUCAGGAUACAAAAUUUGUUUGCCUAUUUGACAAGAAGAAAUGAGGCUGUCUGUUCCAAUGUGUGCAUGGCAGUGGGUGAUGGCAGCAGUAACACCUGCUAAUUCUGCUCGGGGUACGUUGUUUGUGAUUCCAGCACCAUUUGGCUCUACAAGGAUUUUGCUGUCAGACAGGGGAUGGUACACGCCUACCCCUAUUCCUUGCUUUCCAUUUCGGGAAUGACAGCUGCCAUCAGUGUACGCCCAUGUCCUCCAGUCUGGGACUUUGAGGGCAAGGUUGGGGUUCAGCAUACAAGCCGCCCUGUUCAGCAUACAAGCCGCCCUGAUGCUCUAUUUGUGCGGCACAUCCCAGGCAGGCAAGCCCAACUUGAUCCUACCAAGAUUCCACCGCAAGAUAGAGACAUUGACCUUGUUGAACUUAAAUUCUGCUCUGACACUAAUCCUGCCAGCGCCUUGGAGCGUGCACAAACUCAACAUUCCCACACCAUUAGCAGACUUAAAACACGCAGCUUAAGAAACGCAAACAGGAAUAAUAAAGUAACUUUGCACACCAUCUUAAUUGGUGUUGGUCAGGGAAGUUCAGGGGGGUCUGAGAAAUUUCGGGUCCACCCGAAGGCCUGUUUAAAAAUUUUCGGGUCUACCCGACCUGCCUUUCAAGACCUUCGGGUUUAGGUGCUAAAAAAAAAAACCGGCCGGGGGCUGACGCCCCCGGCCGGGUGAGUGCGAUGUGGAGUACUAAUUUAUUUGAGCCUACCUUCUUUCACCAUUACCUUCCCUUUACCGCCAGCGCCGUACCCCUGAGCAUGGGCGACCCCGGGAAUUUCCGGUAUUCUCAUUCGGACUUGCGUCGACCUCUCAGGAGGUCGGGGGUUCGAGCCGCUUAGAUGCCCUCGAAGGCAUAAACAGCGGAAACACUUCCUUCCUUCCUUCCUUCCAUUACCUUUCAAAGAAGAUCUUGUAUACCCAUACAAAUUAUUUCCAAAUUUCUUCAUCCCAAAAUUCCUUCUUGUUUACCCAUACAACUUAUUUCCAAAUUUCUUCAUCCCAAAAUUUCCUCCUUUUCAUAUACCCACCAUUUUCUUUUAACACAGGAGGGGAAUUUUGAUUUCAAUCCAUGGGAAUUUUUUUGGACUGCUGCAUGGCAGCUGCAUGUCAUAGGAGGGGGCUGCAGUUUGCUGCAUCACAUGUGUUACAAUUGCCAAAAAAUGGAGGGUGUAAUGAAUGCAAAAAAAAAAACAAAGGUGUCCACAUUUACAGAUCGUCCAACUCGGUUGCUGCCGCAUUCACACCCAAGUCCAUCAUGCUCCCCUCCUCAUUCAGAUUGCUGAGGCCAAAGCAAUCCGUUCCAUCAUCAACUUCUCCAUCCUCCUCCUCCCCUUCACUCAUCCAUGCUCCCACAUCAUCUUCUUCCUCAAUCUCAUCUUCCUUGGACAUAUCUAGAUCUGGCUCUACACCUUCAUCUACUCCAUCAGCCAGCAAGCCCAAUUCAAUAUCAUCAAUUCUCUUAAACAGAUCCCGCAAUUUCAUAUCCUCCCUUGAGCCAACAGGGACGUAAUUAUGUAUUCUGGCAGCAGCUGCAAAAUCAAAUGAUUGCAAAGGUUGCCCCAGGGUGAGCAACUUGAUGCGCAACAAAGAAUCAAGCGUCAUGAUUUUCAGACGAUUAGUCAACCUGUUUUUCAAGAUGCGGUGCAAACUGAAGCCACGCUCAACAACAGCAGUUUGCACAGGUGUUAAGAACAUUAUGUUAGCAAAAAUAAUCAUUUUUGAAUACACUACUGCAUCAGGGCUAUUCCGCAACAUGCCCCACACUGCCACCGGAUCAACAAUUUUAUAUGUAUUCACCAAUGUAUGCAUUGCUUGCUUCAUGACCAUAAAUUCAUGUGCAAUGCUAGCCCCAUUAAAAUCAAACAAUUUCUGUGAACCCCUCUCUUUGCCACAGAAGUGCGCGAGCAAGACUUUAAAGCUCUCCCAGCCAAACUUCUCUAGGCUCUCAACAGGCAUAUUCAAGUAAAAACUGGGAAUAAAAAUAUGAAAGUGCCCCAGCAAAGCGCAGCUCUCAAACCGCUCUUUAAACUUUUGUACAAUAAACUUGGCUAAAUUCCUCAUCUCCCUCUGCAAAACAAGCAAACUGCACUUCCUCAUUUUAAAUUUGAAUUGAGGGCUUGGAAUCCACCAGCCAUCCUUUUUCACUCCCGCACAAAAGGCUUUAAAACGGACCAAAUGUACACUUUUUAAAUCCUCUGCAGAAACAAACAUUUGUUCAAGCUGCUGCACUGUUCUGUUUACAUGAUGUACAACUUCAUGAGGCAGAAUACUGUCUGACUGAAGCUCUUUGCACAGAAUAACAACAGGUUGCAACAUAUCUAAGACCAAGAACAAGGUACUCACUGCCUUUAAGCUCAGCAACCUCUUUUUCACCCUUACAGCGACAGGCCAAGAGCGGGGAUUAUUUGUUGCAGACUGAUCAUUAUACUGACUCAGGAAUGCAAGCAGAACUGGCAGGUUGGAACACAAGACAUCCAAGCACUCUGCUCGGCUGAGCCAGCGCGUAGGCACAUACAACGGAAACUUCAAGCGUUGCACACCUCUUGCCUUGGCAAAAUCUUCCCAUUCUUGCUGACGCUUAUGGCUUUUACUAAAUAAAUUGUGCACAGCCUUCAACAAGCUGUCCACAAGCUGCAGACAUUCAUUUUCUUUCCCGGCAUCAUUCAUGACUAGCGCAGUCCUGUGUGCUGUACAGUGAACACCAACUAUAUACGGGCACAGCUUUUCCCUCAACUGCUGCUGCACACCAGUGUGCAGCCCCAUGUAAUUAGAUGCACCAUCCGUACACAUUGAAAUAAGCUUUUGCUUAUCUAUACCCAAGGCCUCAAGAAUGCCAAGCAAAACGCUGUAAUGGUGACUUGCAUCGUCUGCUUUUGCGCUGACGCAGCACAGAAAUACAGUGACAAAAGCAAACGUGCUAGCAUCCAGAAACCUGAUAUACACCAUGAUGUGGUUCUGCGUGCUUAUAUCAGUCCCUCCAUCACAAAGCAAAGCAUAAAAAGGACUUACAUUAAUUCUUGCAAUUGUGGCGCUUAAUAAGACUUCGCUACAAGCAUACAUAGAAGACCAGAAGUACCUACGAUGGUUGUAUUUGUGCAAAAUUUUACUUGUGCAUGCCAGGGAAAGGAGCUGCAAAAGAGAUGCAAACUUCUGCCCAGGAACACCCUCUUUAAUGAGCCACAAGGCAGCCAUGAGCAUCGUAGGAAGCACACUGAGCACGGUAGACUGUUGCUUGUCAUGCAUUUUUUGCAAGCCACCACCGAUGCUGCCUACCCCACCAGCACUUGCAAUUGCGGUAUUCUUGGCUUGUAUGUGUCCAGCGGAGGACUCAUGGUCUCUCAGGACACCCGCAUCUCCAAUCACAGCACCAUGGCCACCAUCAACUUUCCCAGCAAACUUGGAUGCAGACUUGCUAUGCUCACGACAUAUGGUGCACACGCCUUUUGGAUGGCCAUACUCAGACUUUUUGCCCGUAUAUUGUAGCCAGGGAUAUGACUUCUGCCACUCUUUCUCCUUGUUGUCCCUGGCUUUCCUGUCCUUCUCCGCCUUAUCCUUCAGAACUUGCUCUUCUUGCUUCCUUUUCUUCUCCCUCUGCUCCUCUUUCCACUACUCUUUGGACUCUUCUGCAGGAGAAAGGGAGGCCCCCAGUGGUCAGUGCAAGUUGCAUGCAAUUUCAAGCUGCUGCAGCACCAACUUUGGCUGGGAAUUGUGCAGUUCAGCAACUGGUCCUCACCAGUCUCAGUGACCUCGCAGCGGACAAGCCCCAGAGUGAGGGGAAUGAUGACGAGGGAGACGAGCUUGGUGAGCGUGGAGCGCUGCCGCUUGCUGCCGGUCUGCUUGCUGCCCGAUGCUGAGGCUCCAGCGGGAGCGGGAGCAGGCGGGAGGUCCACGUACGGCUCAAGCCUGAGGGGGACAGGGUUGGGGCCAGCCCCCUCGGGCCACGAACGCUCACCAGACGCCCCUCUGAGUGCCAGCCUCGCUUCCUCCCAGGUGUGGUCAGAGUUCAGCAAAUCCUGCAAUGUCUCCCUGAACUCAGGGUCUGGGUGCUGCUCCAUCCACUCAUUGGACCAGGCCUCAGGGGGAGUGUUGGCUGGCUGAGAGGGGGGCUGAGGAGGAGGGGUGGGCUGUGGGGCCUGGGAUGCCCCUGCCUGCAGGGGAGCCCCUGCAUGGGACGGAUUUGUGGCCUUCAGAGCAUGGCACUCUGACCCAUGCAUGCUGUUGAUGCAUGCUGACCCAAAUGAGGAUUGAUGCCUGCCAGCAACUCAUGACUUACAAAGGGAAGCAAUUGUAGUCUGUGACGUGGGCGGGGGAGGAGGCUCUGGAAGGCUGGGCAUGGGGCCUCUGCCCCGCCCUCCCCGUCUCCCUCCUCUCCUAGCCAUGGCUGCUGAUGACCCUGGCUGAUUCUGCCUACGUUGAAAAAUGCACCCAAAGUACAAAUUAUAAUGUUCGGGAAAGAAAGAAAGAAAAGAAAAAGAAAAAGAAAAGAAAAACUGCGUAGACGGAGAAACUCCCCCUACAUCAGUUAAGGAAAAGGAGGCACAUUGGCUCCGAAUAAUGUUCGGGUCCUACCCAAACGGGACCUGGCAUUUUCAAGGAAAUUUUGGGUUUGACCCGAGCGGAUUUGGCCUGCGCCUCGGGCGCAGGCCAAAUCCUUCAAUUAUUUUCGGGUAACCCGAGGGUUUGAACUUCUUUGGUGUUGGUGGCACAAUUUACAACAACUUCACUAUUGCACCUCUUAUAAAUCUGGGCCUGACCAAACAAAAAGCUGAAUCACUAGCUUCCCAACUCAGAGACCAUGCCAUCCAAAGAUUAUCCACCAUCAUUAACACAAGACAUGCACUUUGUUUUCAGGGAGCAUCUGGGAGGGGAGGGUUUGCUGGGCGCGCGGCUGUGGCUGAGGAUGGAAGAAGGAGUGUCCGAGCGCUCAGGGGCAUGGCGGCCAAUCCCCCGGAUCCCCAUUAGUUCUGUUUCUUGCUCUCUCCUAGGCUAGGUUCGUCUAGUUUAGGUGGAGGGACUCUUGGUGAGGCCUCUAGCUUUUGCUAGGGGUUCUUCCCUUAAUGCACGCGGCCUCGGGACUGCGUAGACUUUUCUUUUCUUUUCUUUUCUUUUCUUUUGGGGUUGGAUUGGUGAGGCAUAGAGACUACUUCAAGAUUGUCUGUGGAUGCAUUGUUAAAAGCUGUGGAAAUUUGCUGCUUGUCAGAAGGCAGGCAUCACAGCAUGCAUGGCUUUGAGAAUGUCAUGGCUACUGACACUGCGCAGUUUCCAAUUGGCUCUAGGCAUAUACUUACUGAUGUCACUGGCAAGGUUUUGCAGCCAAGCUGGGUUAUGGCUGUUAAGAUGGAUCCUUGCAGCAGGGUUCCAAAACGCAAUAAUUUGUAUAUCCAAGCUGUGCUGAGGAAGAGGUAUUUCUUGAUUCGGGCAUGAUUGAGGGGCUUUGUAAACAAGGUUGGUCUUCAUCUACUUAUUCGGAAAGCGCGUGUUCCAGAUGCUUGGAAGGAAGCUAAACUCACCCCAAUCCACAAGAAAGGCCCCGUUGUUUCUCCAACUAAUUAUAAGAUGAUACCUGUGAGCGCUCCUAUCUACCGGUUGUACACCAAUGUCCUGAGAUCCAUUAUUCAAGAUUGGUGUAUCCACCACAGGAAAAUUCCUGAUACACAAUAUGGAUUUUAUCCAGGAAGAAGUACCCUUCAACCAAUCUUCAUCCUACAACACCUGAAAAACGCAGCCCAAAAAGCUCGGAGUGAUACCUCCAGAUUGUUUACAGCAUUCAUUGAUUUUCAGCAAGCGUACGACUCUGUUCCUUGGGAAAAGCUGCGGAAACAUUUGUAUCAUUGUCGUCUACCUCAACAACUCAUUGCUAUUCUCCAGGAUCUGUAUCACAUGGAUGUAUAUACUCUGCUUGAUGGUGACAAAAUGGCUAGUGUUCAGCCAGUGUGUGGGGUUAAACAAGGAUGUCCUCUAUCCCCUCUUCUUUUCGCAAUUUAUCUCAACGAUAUUGAUACUGUUGCAGAGGGUGUACAAGGUGCUCUGACAGCCAUCCCAAAUUUAACGGUGACCCAUUUACUUUUUGCUGAUGAUCUGGCUUUUACAGCAAACAGGCAACCAAGUUUACAAAAGCUUCUAAACAACCUGAAAGACUACGCCAUGAGGAAAUCUUUGGUUGUUAAUACGUAGAAAUCCCAAGUGAUGUGUGUAAAUUCCAGGUCUGACAAUCUGCCGACUUUUUUCUAUGAUGGGUCACCCUUAACUUACACUGACCAUUUCAAAUAUCUAGGGAUGGUGAUUGAUAAGCAAUUUCAUCUUUCAACAGCAGCAGACGCAGCCUUACAGCCUCUGGUGAAUGAGACUUUCAAAAUACAGCGCUUUGCUCAGGAGCACGGUCUAACCAACCGACUUCAUGCUCUCAUUUGGUUACUUAAGACUUAUUCCAUUCCUGCUGGUAUGUAUGCAAGUCAGAUUUGGGCAACCCCCUUCCUUAAGCAAGGUAAAGAAAUGGACAACCCAUUACAAAAAUGGAUUAUUGCAACACUUAAAAGGUGGCUGGGUGUCAGAGAUACAACUCCUUCUUGGUCUGUGCUGCGAGAGUGUGGGCUUGAACCGCUACAACUCAAUUGGUUCCGAGCAGCUAUUCGUCUGUACAACUCGUUUACACAAUGCAAUAGCAUCACGGUCAGAAAGGUCUUACAGGCGGAUAUCUGCUUAUCUUCUUCCUCUUGUGACUGCUGGUCUUCACACACAAUUAAUGCCAUGGAUGGAUUGCAUCAUGCUAGUCAAUUCAAGCUCAGCAUAAUGAAUUGUGAACCAAUCCACCUUCGACAAUUUGUGGUUGACCUCAGAUCCAGACAGGUUCAUUAUUGGGCUCAAUUCUCCGGCCCCACUCCCAGACAACGGAAUAGCAAACACCGUACUUAUCAUCAUUGGUGUGCGCUGCCUAUCCGCAACAUUGUAGCCACCCAGGCCCCUUAUCAAACUCCCAAAUAUUUCUACAUUGCCCUUCCCAAUGAUGUUCUUCGAAAUGUUGCCCGCUUUAGGCUUUGGGUCCAUACUCUUCGGUAUGAAACAUCUACUUGGAAUCAGGGUUCUUCUUCUCAUUGUGAUUUUUGUCAGGAUGUAAAUUGUAUCCAGGAUGAAAAACAUGUUAUUUUUCACUGUACUCACCCCCAUGUCGUUGCACUGCGUGCUAAGUAUGCCUUUCUAUUCAAUAACCAGGAGGCUCAAGAUGUUCGUAAUUUUAUUCUUCAAGAUAAUAAUAAACUUGUCUAUUUUAUCCAUGAAAUUGUUACUUUUUAUGAACAGGCUAGCAGUCGUGCGUUUUGACUGAAGGCCUUUUUCUUUCCUGUAACCCUGUAACCCUGUAAACAAGGUUGGUCUUCGGGAUGGUGCCAAUUUCAUAGCAUAUGUGGGGAAAUGCAGAAAUGAGUUUAAAGCAGGGGUUCAUUAUCAUUUGUUUUCCCCAAACAGGAAGGAACAUGAAGGUAGCAGUGGCCUCUGUGUUGUGAAUGGCAGAAUAAAUGGCAUGUCGCAAGGUUUGUGUCAUAGUACCCUCAUUAUAGAUGGGAUGGCAAGCAGAGAAGCCUGAAAACCUGGAUGAAAGAGAAUUAUGGAGGGCACCAAAGACAGCGUGUCGAGAGUCAGCACUCCAGUAGUGUUGGUAAUGUGGGUCGUGGUCUAAAGGGGAGGCCAUCUUUUCUUGAGUUACUAAGGCCCAUUUUUGGAGUGCUGAAUAGAUGUCUGCAGGUAGGGCCCGUGAGAAGGAGUCUUUGAUCUUUUUGCUAGAGUAUUUGUUUUCAAGUAGUGUUUUGCGGGAGAGAAGGCCUUGCAGCUCAGAUGCAAAGCUGGCAGGAGCUGGCUUCAUUUUGUCGUGCAUGCCAUGAAGCUUGGCUCUAUAAAAUGCCCUGUAGAGGAUAAAGGAACGGUUAGGGGAUAUCAUCCCAACGCAUUUACCUUGUGUGUUAUAAAUGCAAGCCAUGUGCGUCCUGUAGACCUCCGGGAGAAUUAGUGUAGGAGAACGGACGGAGGGAUUGGGUGUGUGGACCAGUGUCAGGUGGCGCUUCAGCAGGAGCUUGCUCAUCUUUGUAUUUCACAAGGCCAAUUUCAUGCAGCCAAAAUUCGCAGGAACCAGUUGACUUUAUGUCUGCUUGAGGAUUAGUGGGGUUUAGAUCAAAGAUGACUUUGUUGCGCAGUUCAGUGUCUAAUUUUUGCUUCCAUACAUUUGAACUGUCAAGUUUCUCAAAGCCUUGUCUUUCUAGAUUAGAUAGGUCAGAAUCUGCGGUGGGUAAGGAGAGGUCAGGUUCACUUUCCCUGGCUUGAAAUUCAAGGAGACGAGUGUGGAAUUCAGGCCAAAGGUCUUUGGUCUCUUCUGGUUCCCAGGUGGGCUUCCAGGUGACCCUCCAUAGUUCAUGUUUGGACUGUUGUUCCCUGUCAGCUUUUUCCCUGUCAGCCGCGGGAACCUGAGACGAACAGUAAAACGUUCACUUACCAUCAUUGGUGUGCCCUUCCACAACGUGACGCUCAUGCUACCUUCUCUCCGUGUCGUCUACCCAAGUACUUCCAUUUGGAUCUACCCACACAUAUUUUACGCAGUGUUGCCCGCUUUCGGUUACGUGUUCAUCUCUUGAGGAUUGAGCUAAACUACUGGAAUGAAGAGAUUGAUCCUAAGUGCGAUCUGUGUGAUGCUCACGAUGACGCUCAGGAUGAACAACAUGUGCUAUUUUAGUGCACUCAUCCUCACGUUUGCAACCUUAGAAGGAAAUAUGCAUCUUUGUUCAAUGGGCAUGCCCUUUCCCUCUCAACUCCAGUGUCCCAAGCGGCACCGUUCCUGCAUGCAUCUCACCAUGUCCCACCACAUGCCAUGCGUUCUUUUUUGAAUCAAAACAAUAAUAAACUUUAUCCUUUCCUGCAUGAACUCCUACUUUUUUAUGAACAGGCUAGCAGUCAGUCGGUUUGACUGGAGGCCUUUUUCCUCUGUAACUGUAAAUGUAACUGUAACUGUCAGCUUUUUGAUCGUGAUUCAAUUCUGUAACAGGCGGGGCAGGCCCACUGGUGAGCAUCAUCAAUUUCUUGUCUUUGGUCAUCAGUAUAACAACCAAGAUCUUUCAUUUCCAAUGAUAUGUACGAUGGCAAGUAUCAAAGAAAAAAAGAAAAGCCUACGCAGUCCCGAGGCCGCGUGCAUUAAGGGAAGGACCCCUAACAAAAGUCAGAGGCCUCACCAAGAGGCCCUCCACCUAAACUAGACAAAACUAGGAGAGAGCCAGAAGCAGAACUAAUGGGGAUCCGGAGGAUUGGCCGCCAUGCCCCUAAGCGCUCGGACUCUCCUUCUUCCAUCCUCAGCCGUUGCCGCACGCCCAGCAAACCCUCCCCUGCCAGAUACUCCCUGAAAACAAAGUGCAUGUCUAGUGUUAAUGAUGGUGGAUAGUCUUUGGAUGGCAUGGUCCCUGAGUUGGGAAGCUAGCAAUUCAGAUUUUUGUUUGGUCAGGCCCAGAUUUAUUAGAGGUGUAAUUGUAUAUUUGUUAUAAAUCGUGACACCAACACCAAUUAGAAUGAUGUGCAGUGUCACUUUAUUAUUCCUGUUUGGGUUUCUUAAGCUGCGUGUUUUAAGUCUGGUAAUGAUGUGCAAAUGUUGAGAUUGUGCACGCUCCAAGGUGCUGACAGGAUUAGUGUCGGAGCAGAAUUUAAGUUCAACAAGGUGAAUGCCUCUAUCUUGUGGUGGGAUCUUUGUAGGAUCAAGGUGGGCUUUUCUGCCUGGGAUGUGUCGCACAAAUAGAGCAUCAGGGCGGCUUGUAUGCUAUACAGGUGAGGCAGCGCCAUUUGUGAAAACCCAGUCUGGAAUAGCGCGAGAGGUGUCUUCAGGGACUUGUAUGCCUUGAUCCAGAAGUCUGUCAUGGUUGCAGCCAUCCAUGCUAAUGAGGGAUGAGCCAAAACGGCCUUUGCCGAGGGCUUUUAUAAUAAGAGUAAGGGCUGCGUGGUGUCUGUUUGUGUGCAUCCCACUCAUUGUUGGGUUGGUACACCUGAGCAGAGCAUGAUAAAUGUUAUCGGUACUUGCACAGAGAGGGCAGCUAUCAGAAUUGGAAAAGUUAAAGCGAGAGGCAUGGCCCUGCGUGUACAGUGUAUCCGUUCGAUAUUUCAUGAGGUUUGUUUGUUGUUUAAGGGUAAUCUUUGGAUUUUUCCAGAAGGAGUUGCUGAUUUCCUUGUUUGCAAGCUGAGGGAUUGGGUUGUGAGCUUCAUUGUUUGUGUUGUUGGUGGAUGGUGUGGCAUCGUUAAGCUUCUGCCAUCUCUGGUAGUGGUAGCCAGAGGUGUCAGCGCAGCCUAGUCUGUGUUUUUUGUGCAUGUGUGUUUUAAGUUUG